UUGAUUUUAUUAGGUACCGCAUAUCUGGAUCAUCAUUGCUUGCUGCCAUGGAUCUAAGUUCACAUGUUCCAUAUUCAGAUGUAUUAUCAGUUCGCACUGGUGAAAUGACUCCAACCAUGGACCAAAGAGAGCAAAUAAAUUCUCCUCCAUUCCAAGGGAAGAAUGAGACUCUCUCUAGGGCAGAUGAUAGGGGCGGAAGGGUUCAUCCAACUGUUGAUGUAGCUGAAAUUCUCCGACGUUGGACUCAUGCAUUACAACGUAUUCACAAACAAUCGCUCCAUUUGGUAGGUGAAAUUUAGGUUGCAGAUUAGCUAUUGGUUUUGCAGAAAUUGGUAUAUCAUUUUGUUCUUGGCAUGCUAAAGUUCUAUUUGACAUGAUUCUUAAUGGUAGAGUUACUGAGGCAUGGGAUAUCCUUAGAAUCAUGGUAAACUAGUGAAGGACCCGCGCGUUGCGGCGGGAUGAUUUUGUAAAAAUAAAUAAAUAAAUAAAGUAAAAAAAUGUCAAGGAAUUAUAUUAAAAAAAAAUGUAACUGAAGAAUAAGUAACUAUUUCUGCAAUAAAAAUAGAAGAAUAAAUUAUAGGAAGGACUAAAAAAAUAAGGGCAAAAACCAUACGAAUUUGUUAUCUUAACUAUUAAAAAAUAGUAUUGAUUCAUGCGAUAAAAUUUUAUAUUUAUUUGUUAUAUUGACUAUUAAAAAAUAAAAUUGAUCUAUGCGAUAAAAUUUUACACUUGAUAUAAGCAAAAAUAAAAAAAAAGAUGUUAAGAAAAAAAAUAAAAAAAAUAAGAAAGAGAGAGGGAGUGAGAGUGUUGAGAGAAAAAAAUAAAAAAAGAAGUAAAAGAGUGAGAGAGAGCGAGAGAGUGAGAGAGAGUGAAAAAAAAAAAAGGUGGGGCCCACCGGGCCCCCAAAACCCGGGGAGAGCCUCUUUAGGCUCUCCUUUCAUGUAUUGUAUAGAUAGAUGUCAGUAGGGAGUGCAAUUCAGAACAGAGUACAAUUGAUCAACAAUCUAUGUUUGGGCUAAAUUUAGCCUAAUAAUUGAAGUAAUCCUCAGAAUGCAGUAGCCAACCAGUGAACCAAUCAUUAAUCCAAUGCCCAAUCCGCCAGUGAACCAAUCAUUAAUCCAAUGCCCAACCCGGCAGGCUGUAUAUUUUUCAAAGAGACUAGUCUGUGUAUUAACCCAGAACCAGUCACCUGGUAUCAUUGAAACUAACCAAGCCCUAAUUGCUACUGCGAGGUUGACAGAUUAGUUGCAAAUUUAUUUAACCUAUUUCACUACGACUUACAUUUGGAAGAAGCAUUUGCUGAUAUUCUGUUUUUGCUAUGCCAUUAGAAAACACAAGUAGCCUUUCUUUUUCCUAAUCUUUGCAUGUCCUUUCACAACAUUUACCAGUGUAUUUGUUUGUUGAAGCAGUGUUAUUUAAGGAAUACUGCUACAAUUUAGUCGGCAUAAAUUGUGUACACAUGCUUAUUAUUUUAUGUGAUGCCUUAUCGAACUUCUCUACAAGCCUGCCUUUGAAUAUUCUUGCCUGUCUAACCGUUAGUAAGUGUUGCUUGUAUAGGCCAAAGCUAAUGAUGGGGAGGGCCCAGAAUUACUUCGUAGUGUAUCUGACAGUGAUACCAGCGGCCAUGCUGAGUCAUUGGCUGCAACACUUGCAGAACAUCGCCAACAUUUAGUUAGCAUACAGGUGAUAUAACUUUCAUGCUGAUCUGCUUUAUUUACAGUUUGUUUAUAGUUUGUUUACAGUUUGUUUACGCCAUUGAUGGAUUAUAAUUUGUUCGGUAACUGUCGAAUAUAUACUAUGCAAAUUAAGAUCAUUAUAUAGGCAUGAGAAAGUACGCCAAAAAGUACAUAAAAAUAGUGAAACGUGAACCCCACUUAUCUUUUAAAAGAAUCAUUCUGCUGUCUGCUGUGCAUCAUGGACUAAUUAGGUAAAUUCGGCAAUGUGAGAAUUGACUUUAUGCACUGCUGUUGACCACUUAACCCAAGGUCUGUAGGCUUAAGGCUUUUUGAACUGUAAUGGUGGUCAGUCUAUACUUAAUUGCAGGUUCUCUGUGCUCAUUUUGUGAAACCUAAGACAAUCCCAUAUAAUUUGAUGUGUUGGAGGAAAGAAUUUUCUUUUCUUAUUAUAGUUGGUUAACUUACAAUGCAUCCAAAUAAAUAAUAAAUGACAACUUGUUCAAAAAAAAAAUUUGAAAGCAAAAAAAAAAUUGUUUCCAAGUUUUUAUCUUUGGUUGUCAAAUAAACACCGUGGAUGAAAGGAUUGUAAGAAAUCCAUUGACCACUCUUACACCUUUUCAUAUACAAAAUUUUAUUUGAAAAACAAAAAACGAACAUGAUACCAAAUGAGACCCAAGGUUUUUGAUAGAUUAAUCAGCUGCAAAAUUUGAGCAACUAUUUAUGUGGGAGAAGGGGUAAAAAGAAACCAAAAUAAAAUAGACACAUUUUGUUGCUACCUGAUGGAAUAAAUAUCUUCAAGGCUUGUUUUAGGGAGAGGUUCUUUAGUCCUGUAAAGAAAGCAUGCUUUGCCCGUCACAGUUGAUAUAUUUGGUACCCUUUGAUGAGAUUUUCUUCCAGUGAUUGCAGGCUUUUUUUUCCCUAUAUUAAUCAACUAAAGAUUCUUGUGGAAUAUUCAGGGCUAUUUUAAUAUGUCGAUCGAAAGUAAGGUUUUGAUCUUCUCCUUUAUUAUGAAAAGAAUUGUGUUGUAUGAUUAAUAAAAUAUAAUCAUUAAGUCAUAAUUUUCUUGUUUAUUGGGCCGCAUUUGAUUAAUUUAGAGGACAAUACACUUAUAAUAAAGAGAUAAUCAAUUCAAAUUAUUGUUUAAAGGGAGAAUGCUUUAUGCGUCAAUUGGAAAAUCCAGUAACCUUUUAAGUGAACAGUAAGCUUAAAGUUUUAGCUGGUGGUAGUGGGGAUUGGCGGUGUGUCUGGGUGUGGGUGGGCAAAUGUACUGGUAUAGCUAUCGGCAUGUUAUUUGACUUUACCAUGCAAGAAAUUCAUGCUCAAGUAUGCCGUCUGUCUGUUGUGUUUUGAGUAGAAAAUUUGCUACUUGAUAUUGGCUCUGACCGUCAGAUGAUUUACUCUUAGUAGAGCUUACAAAAGCUUAGUAUCUACAUUUGCUAGUACUAUAGAGAAUUUUUUGAUAUAUCUGUAAGUUUGUUUCCUUGGAUUAAAAUCUGGAAAUUUUAUGCUGUAUUUUUUAAUAUGUUGGCUAUUUUCUGACCUCAAGUUUAAUCAAUUCAGGGACUUAUUAGUCAACUAAAGGAAGCCAUUCCGGCAAUGCAGAAGUCAAUAUCAGAACUCACUGAAGAAGUAAACAUAAUAUCUGCAAGCACAAUAGAUGAGUUGGAUGCGAGACCUUCUGUGCAGUCUCAGAGCAUCGGAAGGCCACUAGUGAGAACUCCACUGAUAUUUUCAUUUAUGUAUAGAAACUGUUUCAUGUAGAUUAGCCACGAGUUCCUUUGGCUAAUAAAAAGACUCCUCUUUCCACAUUUAUUUAUGUGAUGGCUGAUUUAUUUCCUCUAAGCAGGAAAAUAGUAGUGAUGAACUUGCUGAGGUGACUACUAGGCUCUCUUCUAUCCAGAUUGACAAAGCUGCCUCCAGCCCGGCACUGAAGCUCCCUCAUUUAUUCAGUCUGACUCCUAAUUCAUUGGGAAAAGGCACACAUACACCAAAGCGGACUGCUAUGGCUACUCAAUGCGAUCAGGAAAAGAUGCACACAGGGAAGUCACUUUCACAGCCUUCGGUGAAUGAUCAUAUAAGCGGUGAAGCACUUGGUUAGUAAUCUCCUUCAUUUCUUCGUUGAAGCCAUACUUGGAGAUGUGUGUUCAAAUUUGGAAGAAGCAUUAACAGACUCCCCAACAAAAAACAAAAUAUAUAUAUAGAGUCUGGCUACUAUACUAUCGAUAGUACCAAGCCCUUGGUACUAUUGAGUUUUCUACCGUUAAAUCUACCCUUUGAUCAUUUCCACCCGUUAGAUUAUACUAUAUAACUAACCACCCACUCAAUCCUAGAAAACCACUAUCAAUUUAACCGGGAACCACUAUCAUUCUAACCGCACAUCCUUUCAUCCAACGGCCGAAAACUCAAUAGUACCAAGGGUUUGGUACUAUUGGCAGUAUAGUAGCAUAAUUCUAUAUAUAUAUAUAUAUAUAUAUAUGGAGAGAGAGAGAGAGAAAGAGAGAGAUGUAUAUAUGUAUGUAUCUCUACGAAAUCUACAUUUUUGUUUUUGCCCUUUUGAUAACUUAAUUCCAUACAUACUACUUGUACAUAAGAAGAAAUGCCCCCUUCUGAAAAACUUUUUCCUAUGCAAAAUAAACUUUCCCCAAUGAAUUGAAUGACAAGGCAUUUUCUGUUCCUUUUACAGAUAGUGAUGGUUCUUACGCUUAUGACAUUAGACGUUCUGUUCGUGAAGCUGCCCUAGUAAGGCCGUUGAGCAACUCAGAAUGUUCACAAGACAAGAGUAGUGAUGAUGGGUCUGAACACUUCUUCAUCCCACUCUCAUCAGUUACUUCUAUGAAAGAAGUAGAGGCCAUGCCAAAUAGGAGAAAACAAAGAUUGGUUUUUUCUCCACCUGAAAUCCGUGUCCCAAAGAGUACAAAAGAUUUCCACUUAAAUACUGGUGUCCUAUCGAGUUCAACCCAUAAGUUGAACGGAUUUGAUGGAUAUGACGGAAACCGAGCAAGCCUAAUUCGUCCAGGCACUGGUAAUGAACAGAGUUUGUUUCCUGAUGCUGACGAUGCUUUGGAUCAAGUAUUUUCACCUCCUUUGCUGCUGGAUUCAUCUUUCUUCCAAGAUACAUAUGAGGACUUGCUGGGUAUGUUUUUUCUACACUAUCUCAAGUUAUCAUGGAUCCGUUUAGAAUAUCAGCUGAUCAUUUUUGACAAAAUAAAUUCUUUAUUGAGAACAAAAGCAGCGAAUAAUUUUGUUUUGAAAAUCUGAAUGGAGGUAUGCCUGCACGGCCUGUCUGGUCUUUUCUGAACUUUUAUGGAAGUGCUGUUAAGUAGAGUUGGUUCAAAAAGCACUAGAAACAGCCUUUUAUUAAGAUCUCUUCAUCAUGUUCCUACAACCAAGCUGAAAUUUCAAAUUGGAGCCUUCUGCUUCUGAGAUCCAGAUAUUCGUGUUAGCUUUCCUUUUUACGACCAUUUUGCUAGCCAAAUGGCUAUCUGUGCUUGUCGUCAUAGAGAUGUCGAACUCUAUAGCCUUACUUUGGAUGAUGUAGUACUUUGGAUGAUGUAGGGACGUGUAAGUAGCUUAUAGGAUUUGUCAUUAAAGAAUUAGCGCUCUGGUAUACGUUGGGUGUGGGCAUGUUAGAAUGGUGGUUUUAGUCUACUAAGUUGUUAAUACUGGUAGGAAUACUUCAGCCAUUACAAGACAGAUUGCCCAACAAAGCCAUCCCAGAAAAACACAAAGUCCACUAUGAGGCACUUUUUAUCAUCAUUCAUCUUGAUGGCGCACCACUAAAUUUGCUGGAAAACUAAGAGUUAAUGUGGGAGUUAUGAUUUUUCCAUUUUGCAGCGCCAUUAUCGGAGACCGAUGCAGCUUUAAUGGAGCAUUAGACUUCAAGACGGUAUGUGAUUUGUUUUACAGCAAGCUGAAGCUCAACUUCACUGGAAAAGCCCAUGAUUACUUGUGGCCCCAUAAUUCGAAAGUUAACACCAUUCAGUAUGAACAUAUUAGCUACACCAGCUUUAGAUUCCUCACAUGGACGCUGCUUUGGUGUGAAGCAAAAGUCAAGCUUUUAAGUCAACGUGAAAUGAUGCGUAAAUCUCACUGCUUAGGGAAGGCACUUUCGCGAAUGAUCAACACACUAGAAUGCUCACCGUUUUUUUGUAUUUAAAUUCACAGCUGUUGUAUUUGUAUCUGUAAUAAUUCAAUCCACUAUUUUCAGAUGACUUUCAACAUCGGCGCAUUUUUCCGGCUUUGUUUUUUCGCCGAAGUUUGGUCUUUGUUGGCUUGCUACAUUUUAUUCUUCGUACGUUGCAGUAUCAUUGUAUGUAAAAUCAAUUCUAGUCCUAUGUUGAGGCAUGCUAUGGUGAGGAAAUAUUGGGUGCAUUUGGUGAACCACAUAAACGGGGCAGUGAAUGGACCAAUGUGGUGCACUAAGUGUAGGCGAUAAUUUUUUUUUCUGUAGCUGGGAAGUCCCGGGGGCGGUGAAGUGGAUUUGGAAUGUUUCUUUUUCGUUGGGAAUCAUUGUUUUGGUGUUUUUCUUUUUUCUUUCUUUUUUUUCUAUCUUUAUUGUUUUCUGUCUCAUUCACAUUUUAUCCAUGAGAAUUUCCUCUGCUAGUCCUUGUUCACCUCUGGAGUUGUAAUAGUGAGUCGAUAGAGCUCUAUUAGCUAUUUUAUCUUCUAAUAGAAGAAAUAUAUUAUUCACCAUUAACAAGUUAUAAAAUGAGUUGAGCUAUAGAUAGUAGGUAAAUAUUGUUUACUGUUUACUCUUUAUUUUUUAAAUUUAUAAUAGUGUCACCACCAAAUAGUAACUCCUUAAUUAGUCAUUCAAAGGCUAAAAAAAAUUGACAGUAAAUAUUAUUUUUUUAUUAAUAAAUAAUAUAACAGCUUGAGUCUUUAUAAAAUAUAUUGCUUAGGUAUUAUUUAACAUCGUUGUUGUUUUUAUUUUUUAAUAUUAAUUUUAUAAAAUUUAAUAUACCGGUUGAUUAAAUGAAGUAUCAGCAAUAUUCUCAUUUCGAGUUAUUUCAUAACUUAUUAAGAAAGAAUUAUUUUCUUUUUUUCAGCGUUAGCCAUCCUAAGCUUUAUUAGUAACUAAAUAAAUUAUAAAUGAGUAGAAUUAAUAUAUAAGAGUUUGGCAAAUGAAUAAUAUAUUCCACUCAAAUAAUUAAAAUGACUCAUUCUUUAGAUCUUAUUAAUAAAAGAAAUGGUAUGAAAUGAUUACUUAAAUUUGUAAAAGUAUGACAUCAUAUAACUCAAUAAAUAUACAUUAUCAUCUUUCAAUAAAGAUACAUAAAAAAAAAAAAAUGUAAUAUGAGCAUAGCAUGAUCCCAACCUCAUGUUGAGAUGAAAUACCAACUAUACUCAGCCCUAGCAUAGCUGGUUAAGGAUUUACUAAUUUAUGAAAAACGCUGCUGGAACGAAUAUACAUCUGACACCCUUAAAUCCAGGGGUUGAACAUUGCUCUAUUUAUUAUAUCUUACUCAAGUGCAAGGUGCGGAGCCAAGAGAGCAACAUCUAACCGACCGUUUCUAAAGCAAAUGGCAAAAGACUUGGUGGUUGGUAUCCAAGAUCCAAGUUCGAAUUCUAGUUGGUUCAUAUUUCUAGAUAAGUUUAUUUUUAAAUGAAAUAAACGAAGCGGGUAGCGUGCUAUCUAUCUCUCAAAAAAAAAAAAGUAAAAAAAAAAAAGAAGAGAGCAACAUCUAUAUUGCUUAUUGAUGAUAGCUUUGUAUAGCAUGUAUCCAGUAUUUAGCACCCACAGCUAAUUAAAUGUUAAUCAUAAUAUUUUUUAACAGAACCGAACUGGCUAAUUGAAUAGUCAAAUGCAGAGAUUUGGUUCGGUUUUUCUGUAGAUUUAAUUAGCUAGUGUUGACUCGAGUUUUGAGAGAAACUGAAAAUUAUACAAGACCACUUCAUUUUUUUUUUUUCUUUAUAAUCGAACCAAACAGAAUAUAGUAGUUUAGCGAGUUCUUUUACACAAAUUGGCAGUUUAGUGUCAUCAUUAUUUAACAUACAAGUAAAGCUUAACCGUGAAAGAACAAUAUCAAGGAUCUCAUCUUUUUAAGCAGAGUUGAGAUUGUUGUUCUUUUAUGUAUAUCAGAAAAACCAACUGAUAGAUGAUAGAGCACCUUACGCCUACAAUAGCAAGCCAGCAGAGAAAACGAAACAAGAACAGAACACGGCAAAUCACACCGCACUUUCCAAACCUCCCAUUCAAGAUCAAUCGCACACUUUCGAUUCAAUCAUAGAAAUUACUCAAACUUCCAAGUUCAGACAAAAAAAAAAAAAAAAAAAAAAGUUCCAGAGGCGAUAUGGAAGGACGACUGAUGCUUUAUUUCGGUGCUCAAUUAAUUAAUGAGCCUUCCGGCUUAGGAAUUGACCGCCAGGAGGCAAGAAGUGAGCUCUGCAUCUUUCUCGAACUCGGCCAUCUCGUCCUCGCUCAGCGACACCCAGGCCUCCACCCCGCGGCCGUCCAUCGCAUGGAAUGGGGCGGGCAGCAGCACGGCCCCGUCCCUGCUGACGUUGCGGUUGAUGCCGACCCACGCCGGCUUCCCCCACCCGAAGUCGACCUCGUACACCGGCAGCCGGAGCCAGCUGCUGAUCACGUGCAGGUCGAAGCCCCUGAAGCCGCCGCACCCCCGCACCGCCUCCCCCACCAGCGCGAACGCCGAGGUGUGCCCGCUCGGCCCCUGCAGCCGCUUCGCGUGCUCCCCUCCCACCUUCUUCACGGAGCUCCCGAUCUCCUCCUCCAGCGCGGCGCCUCCGCAGCCCUCGCCCUCGCCCACGGCCACGCCCGCCGCCGUCUCCGCCGCCAGCGCCGCCGCCGCCAGCACGCAGCGGUUGCCGAAGGCGUGGUCGGGCGCCGGCGGGUCCGUCCGCGCGCGCGUGUCGACGAUGAGCGACGCCACCGACGCCUUCGGCGGCGCGCCGCCCCGGGCGGCCCGGGCGCGCGCGCGGAUGAGGCCGCGCCACAGCAGCGCGGUCACGGCCUGGACGCGCGUCGGGGCAGGGGCCGGGGCAGGGGCCGGGGCCGGGCGGAGAGCCGCGAUCUUCCGCGGGUCGAGAGGGAACCGCUUCACCACCUGCGGCUUCUUCUCGCCGGGGCCAGCCUCGGGCUCCGUCGGCGGCACGGCGUCGUCGCUCGGCGGGAAGGCGUCGGCGGCGUCGAACAAAGGGUCGGGCUCGUCGCCGCGGCCGCCCAGGAGCGAAGGAACGACCCCAUCGACCGCCCGUCGGCGAUCUUGUGCGACAGGCACACCCCGAUCGCCACCCCCCCGCACUCGAAUCCCGUGACCUGCGCGUUACAUUACAUGCAUAUAAGAUAUAUAAUAAUUAAAACCCGCAUGCACUAACCUUUUCUUCUUCUUCUUCUUCUUCUUCUUCUUCUUAAGAAUUAAUAAUGCAUGUAUGGGUACGUUGUUGACGUUUUUAACUAAAACCUGCACGGAGAGUAGAACUCCGGUGUCGGAUCCGCAGCAGCUCCUGGCGCAGGGCAUGAUCUUGCUCUCAGAUUCUUCAUCGGGUGCGCCGUCGCGGCCGAGCACAUCGGAGAGCUCGACGUCAGCGCGGGCUUCGUAGAAGUCGACGCCGUCGUCGGCGCAGUCGACGAGGGAGCUGCCUUUCUGCCGGCCGGCGAGCGGGUAGUACCGGGACAAGGCUCCCGACAAGGAGGCCUUCAGAGCGGCGAUCUUGGCUUCGACGGUGGCGGUUUGAGGCCGACGAGUGCAGCUGUAGAAGAGGGUGACGGGGAGGUGCUUGACUGGGGUCUGCUGGUCGAUCCAGCAGAGCUUGUAGGAGCGGAGGUGGGGAGGGGUGGGGGACGAGGGCUUGAUGGUCUCGUGCGACACGAUCUGGACGGUGGGGAUCUUCAUUUUUGGUACUAGAGCCGCAGCAGUAGGGAGCUAGCGUGGUUGCUGCUUCAAAAUGGGAGAUGACCACUCAAACUUCCCUUCCCGUAAGAGCCUAACUAGUAAGUACAUAAAUGUGCUACACACCCUUGCUCACGUGCAUGAUAGCAUACCCCCUAAAAUUAAUAGAUAAACUAGAAGAUGAAGAUUUAAGUACCUAACUCACAAUUUAAUUAUGAAAAUUUUUAAACUCAUUAAAUAUUAAAGGUGAGAAUUAAAUUCACGACUUUACAAAAUAAAGAGAUUUAGAAUAGAUUAUAAUACCAUAUUUUUUAAAAAAUUGGUUUGUUGAAAAUAAGACCGAUUAGAAGAUGAAAAAUGCUGGCGCUUUGAAUGCUGUACCUAGGCCAUUUUUACAUAUAAUAGAGGAGAGGAAUUUAAAAGUUUAGCUUUUGAAAGUAUAAAUUUAAGAGUAAACUUUAAUUUGUCUCAUUUAGUUUAUUUCUAUUUUGUUAUUUUAUAAUUUAAAAAUUUUAUACUUAAAUAUUUUACAGUUUAGCUCUUUUUUUUUUUGUUAUUGUGUGGUUUAAAAAAUUACACUUUACUAUUCUUUAGUUAUCAAAAAAUUUUACUUUAUUAUUCAAUUUGAUAGUAAAUUUUUUCGAUACAAUCAAAAAUAAAAUUAUAUGAAAAUUAUAUAUAAUUUUUGAGUUAUAGGGUGGUAGAGAUAAAAUGAGCUAAACUAGGCGGGGAAAAUUGCCUAACCCUGCUAGAUGGGCAUUGAACUCUUUGAAGCCUCGUCUGUAUACAUCUUUCGAAAUGGUGAUUAACGAGAAAAUGGCAGUGGUUUUUGUGCAAAAAAUCGAUCGAAAAGUCAAAGGUUCAGAUCCCAAUUAUAUGUUUAUAUAGUAAGAAAUCAAACCCUUGAUUUCUCAGGGCCAAAAAAUAUUUUUUGAGACAUAAAUAGCACGCUAUUCAUUUCAUUUAUUUUAUUUAAAAAUAAACUUAGCUGGAAAUGUGAAUCAACUAGGUUCUACUAAGUUCUACUAAGUUCUUUACCACUUGCGCUAAGGACGGUCGAUAGGGACUAAAAAAUAUUGAUAAAGUAUAUACUUGGUCCCUAAAAAUACGCUUGUUUCAUACAAAAUGAAUAGAAGAUGAUAUUUAUUACGGUCAUAAAUAUUUGUUUUGAAUUUUUUGUUUACUACAAAUAAUUUCAAAACUCAAUAAUUGAAUUUGUCCUUAGUGAUGGUGUAAUCAAUUGUAAAAAAGAAAAGAAUAAAAAGAUUUAACUGAUGUAACUCUUUUUUUAUCGUCUUAUGCAUUAAUAUAAAAUAGGAAAAAAUUCCUGUGUGCCCGCCAAAAAGCAUAUAUUUUCAUAGACGCCCCUAUAAAAAUUAAAAUAUCCUAAAUGCUCCUCUAGAUAUAACAAACUUUUAAAACUACCAUUUAAAGUAACUUCCGUUAAAAUAUAUACCAACGGCAAAGCAAAUACCAGUUUUAGCCUUUUUCAUAAUUGCCCCUUCAAAUGUUCCAAUUCUCACUAAUAAGUUAUAACUUUUGUAAAUACCCAUUGAAUUUAAAAUUCAUAAUUAGGAUCUAGCUACAUGCAUACUUAUUGUUAAAGAUAUUUAGUUAAAAAAAUAUCUUUAAUAUACUUAUUUAGACCUAUUUAUGAAAUCUGUGUAAGUCAUUUAGUUGGAUUCUCAUACUGAUUUCUUUAAAAUUUGUAUAAUCUAAUCUAAAAAGUUAGUAUUUUAUCUUAUUAAAUCUUGAUAAAGGGAGAGAGUGAAGAAUUAAUUGAUUGAAAAAUUAUAAAACUUUAUCAUCAAUUAUGUAGUAUUAAAUUACUUAUCAAAUUUGAAGUAAUAAUAAAAUGAUCUAAUAUUAUGUACAAGAUUAGAUAGAAGCAACAAAAAAAAUUUGAUACAACUAUAAAAAUAAUGCAAGUUAAGAAAAUCAAUUAGAAUAGUGAUAUAAACUAGCAUGUAAACAAGCUUUUAUUUAUAUUCUAAAAUAAAUUGAAGUAAAAGAAACCUGAAAAUCUAAGACUAAUCUGAAAAUAUUGAGUUAAAGAUUCUAUAAUAUUUAAAUAAUCUAAAAUAAUUAGCUUGAACAGUUUGUAAUUCAAAAAUGAUUCAAAUUUUGCGUAAAACAAAUUUGACUAUUUAAACUAACAUAAUUAUCUAAACUAACUUAUCCAAUACAUGUCAUAAAAAAAUAUUAAUAAAAUGUAUUACAGUUAAAUAUUUAACUGAUAUGAGUUAAAUGUUAGUACAUUUAUUCAUACUAUUAUUAAAUAUUUAUUUUUAUGUAAACAAAGAAGAUUUAAAACGUGAGGGAUCGAUGAUUUUGAAAUUUUUUUUAUUUUGAAACCCAUUUAUAAUAAUCAAUGAUAAAAUAGACAUUUCAAUCUUUAACUUAUAUUUAAUUUUAACCUACCUGAAGCAAAAGUAAUAGAGUGAGUGAGAACAAACGGUUUGGACAUUUUUGAAAGAAAAUAGACAUUUAAAGGGGUAAUUAUGAUGUUAUCAAAUUUAUAAGGGUAUUUAUGAUAUUUGUAAGUUUUGCAGGGGCAUAAAAGAAAUUGACCUAUCUAAUAUUGAUGUGAAGUGUAAUAUUGAUCUCAACAUUCAUAUCUAAUUAAUACAAAAACCAUCUUUGUUAAGACAUACGGCCCUCCAAAAGCUCCUAAGUUACGGGCAAAAUAAGUAUUUNUAUAUCAUGUUUUGAUUUCUUUUUUUUUCUCUCGGGAAAAUUCGUAGACUUGUUUUUUUUAUUAUCCUAAAUUUCAGAAAAAUUUUAGUCUCUUUGAUCUGGCAAGAUACUUGAUUAUUUUUGUUGAGCGAAAUUCGAUUACGCGGUAUUUACAAGCAUGAUUAGGAUGAUGUUGCAAAUAGAUUGUGGAUGAUCUGGACUAAUCGUAAUAGUUUAAUCAUGCAUUCGCUGGAUGUCGUAUGGUACAAUCGCCUAUCUGAUCAACUUUUCUUACUUUAUUAAUUUUCUUUCCGAACGUUCAUUUCUUUAAAAAAAAAAAAAAAAAUUAUUUUUGCUCGUUUAAUUUUAUCUUAGCAAAAUUUUUGUCUACCACAUCUAAGAAAUUUUACAUGUAGGAUAGACUUGACCCGUCCUGCAUUAUUAAAUUUCGGCUCGAAAUUAAUUUCAAGCCGAACUUGAGCCGAGAUAAGCUCGCUCGAGCUCGGCUCGUUUCCACCCCUACCAAAUAGGCAAAUAGGGACCAUGACUUUUAAGAAGCACAUGGCAUUGUCCAUAGGGAAGGACGUAAAACGUUAAAAAAUGCCCAUGCAUGAGAUUCGUGCAACGAGCUCGGAUCUCUGUGUAGAUCAGCACGUUAAAUACGACACAACUCGAACAUCGUGCUUUGUUGACUUUUAAAAAAUUAGAAUAUAAACAUGAUAUAAAUAUUAUUAAAUAAAAUAUAAUAUUAUUAAUAUAUUAAUGUAUUUUUAUUAUACAUAAAAUAUUAUUUUUAAUAAAAUAUUAUUAUAUUACUUGUACUAAUAGAAGUUAGUAAAAUUUUUAUUGAUAGUUUAUAUAUUUUUAAAAAAUAAAUUACCAACUAUAUAUAUUUUAUUUAUAUUGUCAAAAAUAAUUAUAUGUAAUCAUCAAAAAGAUAAAAUAAUUUUCAUCUUACACUAUAUAUACAAAGAAAAAAUAAAAUAAAAAUAUGUAUAUAUAUUUUUUAGUUGUAUGCGCUAUGGAUCAACAUCGAACGCACGUUUAAGAAAUGUCCAUAGCAGACACGUGUCCAAUACGGACACGCACGCACGUAUCCAACACGAAUGCGCGAGACUUAGAAAAGUGUAUGAUAUACAUAGUUAAGAAGAGAUAUGAAAUUAAAAAAAAAAUUAUAUUUGCCCGUCGAAAUAGCUCUAAUAUUAUAAAUAUUCCUUUAAAUUUUAAAAUAUUAUAUUUGACCGUCCAAUUAGCUCUAGUAUUAUAAAUAUCUCUUAAAAUUUUAAAAUAUUAUAUUUGCCCUAAAAAAGCAUGAAAAUUUUAAAAAUGCCUUCGUAACUAUUACUCUGUUAUGUUUAAGUAUAACAAAUUCAAAGUACUAAAUUCAUCCUUCAAUUCACUUUCAACAAUGCCCUCACAAAUUAUCUAAAGUUAAUUAAUAUAUGGAGAUUUUCUUAACCAUUAUAUAUUGCGAAAUAGCCCUCUGAAUUUGAUUUUUUUUUUUAUCAAAGUCAUUUUAAUAUUUAGUCCCUUGAAAUUCGAUUAAUUUUUGUCAAUUAAAUUACAAAUUUUAUCAAUCCAUUGGUGAUUCCAAUAAAUUUAAUAAUUUUAAUUACUUUAUAGAUGUUAAAACUAAAAAAAAAAAAUAAUGAGUAACAGCUAACAGCGCAAUUUAAGUUAAAUAAAAUUUUAAAUACAACUAACUAAAAUAAUUAAUGAACAAAACUUAGGAGCUAAAUAGUAUUAAAGGAUACCAGUGAACAAUGUUGGCUUUGAUGUCAAAUAAUAAUGAACAAAUUUAGGGAUUAAAUAGUAAAAUUAUGUAAUAAAUAUAACUUUCGAAAGCUUGUCAACUUAUGGGUAAAACCGACAUUUUAAAUUUUAACCUAUGUUAGGCCACCAUCUGACUAGAAAUAUAAGAAAAUUUAUAGGGUAUUUAUGAUAUUUACGAAAUUUAGAGGGGUGGGAUGAAAUUAACCCAAAAAAAACGAAGAGAUUGUCAAGAUAAAAAAUUAAAAUUAAAAUUAAAAUAGAGAGAAAUGAUAAUUAUUAUUAAUAUUUGCUUAUGCUUGAAUAUUAUAAAUAUUAAAAAUACUUAAAUUAUUGAUAACAACUAAUUAUUUUAUAUAAUUUAACAUCAUAUCAGAAUAAAAAAUCCUGAUUUCGAGUUUUUAUUAGACUCAUAAUUUUAUUUAAUUUCUUCUUAUUUAGUAUAAAUAUGUGUCUUGGGCCUAACACAUUUCCUGCAGGUUCAUUUUAAUUUUUUUUUACUAAAUUAUUAUAUUACCUUGUGAGUUCAAUCUCGGCUGGCAACUUAAAUUUUAUCUUUUAUAUUUUAUCUUAAUUAUCAAUUAAUUUAUAAAAACGAGAUGGUUACCAGUGCUUUGUAAAAUGUCUUUUAUUAAUAUAUUUAAGAGAAACAGGAAGUACAUAACUAAAAAAGAUAGUUAUAUUAUGCUGGUGCGAAGAACACGAGGAUAGAAGAAAAUUGGUUUUGAGUACAAAAGUAUAGAAUAGCUAUUUCAUCUUUUUUUCCAUUUGAAUAUAAAGGGCGGGAUAACCUCUUAUCUCAAUUAUUAUAUUCGUACCAAACGAAAUGUAAGAAGCGACAAAUUCACACUAUAUUAUUAUCACGAAUUUAAUCAUAAUCAAUUGUAUUAUUAUAAAAUAAAAUGUUAGGAGUGACCUGUCACAAAUACUCCAGUUAGAAGAUGGUGUUUUUAUAUAUCUUCAAUGUUUAGUACAUUUGGUAAGGACCCUAGAUGUUGAUUAAGAGUAGUGAGUACCAAAUCAAAAAAUAAAUUCAUAUAGUAAUGGUGCCAGUCGCUGACUCAGUUUGCGCCUCAGAUUUCAAAACUGCAGGUCUCCGUAUUAGCUUUGAUAAUGCUACAAUGCGACAAGAAGUUCUCGCGUUUUGAGUUAUAUAUAUAUAUAUAUAUUAUAUAUAUAAAUCUAUACGGAGGAGGAGGGAAAGGACGAGGAGUGCCCAAAUUAAACUUAGCGUGUUGUUGCAACUUCUUGAAUCUUGAUUGCGUGACCAGCUGCGCCAUGUGGAGCGUCCGAGUUCUCUCCGAGGAGACCGUGAAGCCCUCGUCCCGGACCCCUCCCGACCUUCGCACCUACAAGCUCUCGUGGCUCGACCAGGUCACCUACAUCCACCACAUCCCCGUCACCUUCUUCUUCCUCUUCCCCCCCUCCGACGCCGUUCAAACCCUCAGGAGCUCCCUCUCGAACACCUUGUCCCGCUUCUACCCGCUCGCGGGGCGCCAGAUCGGCGACACGCACGUCGACUGCGCCGACCAGGGCGUCGACUUCUUCGAGGCCCGGGUCGAGGCCCGCCUCGCCGAGCUCCUCGCGCGGCCGACCCCCGACCUCGACUUCAUGUUCGACCUCCUCCCCUGCAGCACCGCGGGGUGCCUCACCCGCGCCGACGGCCGCGGGAGCCUCCUCAAGGUCAAGGCCACGGCCUUCGCCUGCGGCGGCCUCGCCGUCGCCGCGUGCCUCUCGCACGCCGACGCGCGCUCGCUCUUCGCCUUCUUCCGAGCCUGGGCCGCCGAGGCCAGCGGCUCCGGGGCCGCGCCGGCCCCCGACUUCCGCGCCGCCGCGCGGCUCCCCCCGAACGAGAGCGCCGCGCCGAUGAAAGCCGGGGAGGAGGGCCCCCACGCGCCUCGGAACGCGCGGAAGAGGUUCCUGCUCGACGGGUCCAAGAUCCUCGCGGCGGCGCGGCGCGACUCCCCCGCGUCCGAGCGCGCCGAGGCCGUGGGGGCGCUGCUGUGGCGCUGCGCGCUCCGGGCGCGCGCGCGGCUGGGGGCGCCGGCGCGCGCCUCGGUGUGCUCGCCCCAGGUGGACCUGCGCGGGCGCCUGGACCCCCCGGCGCCCCACCACGCCUUCGGCAACCACUGCGUAAUGUCGGGCGCGGCCGCGACGGCGGAGGAGGUGUCGAAGGUGGUGGGCGGCGACGCGUCCGCGAGCGGGGCGUUGGAGGAGGAGCUCCGGAGGGCGGAGAAGAAGGUGGGCGGGGAGUUCGUGCGGCGGCUGCAGGGGCCCGAGGGUCACGCCGCGGCCUACCAGCUGGUGGGGGAGGCGGUGCGCGGGAGCGGGGGCGCAGCGACUGGGUUCGACCUCUACUUCCUCAGCGACUGGCUCGACCUCCCGGCGUACGACGUGGACUUCGGGUGGGGGACGCCCGCGUGGGUCGGGUACUCGCGGACGAAGGCGAAGAACCUGAUGCUGCUCAUGCCCGCGGCGCCGUCGGUCGGGGAUCCGACGGCGGUGGAGGCGUGGGUGGCGCUCGAGGAGAAGGAGCUGGAGGAGUUCGAGCGCGACGAGGAGCUCGCCUCGUUCCUCGUCGCCGCCUCCUCCGAGCCCCUUCCGGUUCGGGAGGCGUGAUGAGAUCGACGAAGCGGCCAUACAUAAUCGGGUUUUAUUAGCUAGCUGACUCUUAAGUACGUAGCAGCAGCAGAUGCAGUAGCAGUAUCAGUAGCAGUAGCAGUAGCAGUAGUUAUGAGUGUCUCGUAUAUUGUGCGUGUUGGGUAAGUUUGAUUAAUUUAGGGGCAUGUUUGGUUCAUGAUUGAAUUAGAAAUGAAAAUUAAAAUUGGAUUGCUUUGAAAUGGUAAAUAGAAUGACGAAUCAUCCAAAAAUACUUGAUUCAUUAUUGGAAUGGAAAUCAAAAUGAAAUUUUAAAAUUUUUUAAAGAGAGUUUUGAUUAAGAAAAAAAAAAAGUGAUGAAGGAAAAGGAGGUAGGUGUUGAUGAAAGAGAAUUUUGAAUAGUUUAUUUUGGAAUGAACCAAUCUGAAAUUUAAAGUCAGAUUGGAUCAUAAAUGGAUUUGGCCAUUUUCAUUCCGGAGUGGAAUGAAAAUCGGAAUCCGAUUCCUACAAAACAAACGGCAACAAUCAGAAUUUAUAAAUUUCAUUUCGAUUUCAUAGUCUAAAAUAGGUGAACCAAACAUGUCCUAAAUGUAAAGAUUUAAAGAAUGUAUUUCGUGCGCUCGUAGCUGAAUUAGUUCGGAGGUUUGGCUGUCAAGGGAACUCCUCUGUCCGGCCGGCUUGAACAGUAAUCUAAGUUGAAAUUGCGGAUUCCGUACCUCUCGGAGGCUUAAAACACAUAUGGGUGCAAUAUCAUUUUGGAUUGUAAGUUUACAAUUUUUCUCAUUGAAUAACUUUUUGUUUUCCCGGCUUAAUUGCCACCUUGCCUUAUUUUUAAUUUUCUUUUUACUAAAAGAACUAAAAAAAGAUCCGUAAACCUUACAAUCUUUGAACAGAUUGUAGAAAUUAUAAAUUAAAAGAAAAUUUUCAAAUACCACUCAUGUGGUUUUAUAUUUUCUCACUUUAGUACUGACUUAAAGUGUAUUAAUUUAAUGUCCCGUAGUUUUAUUUUUAUCUUUUUAUUAUUGAUUUUUCUAAUUUUUUUCGUUAAAGUAGUGACAAAGUUCGAUAAAUUUAAAUAGGAUACCUGAAAUUUUUUGUACAUAAUUUAUCGAAAUAUUAAUAGAAAAACUAACGAAAAAAUAAAAAUAAAAAUACAGAAUAUUAACUUGAUAUAUUUUAAAUUAUAUAGUGCUAAAGUGAAAAAAAUGUGAAACCACGUCAGUCAUAUUUAAAAUUUAAAAGUGAAUAAUGACCUUUACUUUUUCAGCAUCAAUUUUCACUGCAGCGUUAAUUAAAGUAAGUGCGAAAAUAAUACAGAACCAAAGGCAACUGUACGUACUGUUGUUUCUUGUGCCCAAAGUAGAACAGCUAGCAAAUAAUCGAGACGUAGAUCUCUUAUUUGAAAAAACAAAAAACGGAUUAAACGAUUGCAUUAAGAAUAAAGAACGGAGACCGUAAUCUUAUUCAACAGCAACAACAUGCAUGCAGCAGCCAAUCACCAAAACAUGCAUAAUCGCCAAAACGACCAAGACAUGUUUCGUCAGAUCAGGAAUCAAAAGAUUAAUUUAGACUCAGCAAUACAUCUAAGCUCGUCCCGGAGGAGGAGUGACGACUCUGAAGGGAGCCGCGAACUGGAGGAGCUCCUCGUCUUUCUCGAACUCGGCCAUCUCGCUCUCCUCCAUCGUCACCCACACUUCCACGCCUCUCGGGUCCACCUCCGGCGACCGCGGCAUGAGCACCGACAGGUUUCGAACCCGCGCGGUGGUCCCAACCCAGGCCGGCCUCCCCCACCCGAAGUCGACCUCGUACAAGGGGAGGCUCAGCCAGGAGCUGAAGAAGUAAUGGUCGAAGCCCUCGAACCCCCGGCUGCGUAUCACCCCGUCCACGAUCAGCGCGUAGGCCGACGAAUGCCCGUCCGGCGCGCGCAGCUUCCGGGUGUGGUCGGCGUUCAUCAUCUUCGCCGACCGGCCGAGCUCCUCCUCGAGAACGCCCCUCGCGGCGCCGCUCCGGGCCAGGACGAGCUCCACCGUGGCCUUCGCGGCCGCGGCUCCCGCGGAGAAGCAGCGGUUGCCGAAGGAGGCGUUGGGCGCGGGGGGCGCCAUGCGCGGGCGCGUGUCGACCAGGAGCGACGCCACCGAGGCCCGCGCGGGCGGAGGGCGCGCGCGCAGCGCGCAGCGCCACAGCAGCGCGCACACGGCCUGGACUCGCGUGGUCGAGCUCGGGAGCCCCGAGCGGAGCGCCGCGACCUCGGGCCCGGCGAUCACGAAGCCCUUGCGCACGAGCGGCGGCGCGCCGGGGGGCCGCGCCUGGUCCUCCUCCGGGACGACGUCCUCGCUCGGCGGGAAGAGCGCGGCGCCGUCGAAGACGGGGUCGGGUGCGGCGGAGGCCCAGGACUGGAGGAAGAGGAAGAGGGAGCGGCCGUCGAGGAUCUUGUGGCAGGCGCAGACGCCGAGGGCGAGGCCGCCGCAGCGGAAGGCGGUGGCUUGGACGGAGAGGAGGGGGGCGCCCUCGGCGCCGGCGGCGGAGCAGGAGCGCGCGCAGGGGAGGAGCUUCUCGACGUGGUGGAGGCCGCGGAGGCCGCGGAGGAAGUCGGCGAGGUCGGCGUCGGCGCGGGCCUCGAGGAAGCGGGCGCCCGCGUCGCAGCAGCGGACGUGGGUGUUGAGGACGAGCUCGCCCGCGAGCGGGUAGAAGCGGGAGAGCGCGCGGGGCAAGGAGGACUUCAUGGCCCGGAUGCGCUCGGCGGCAGGUGUUUGGGGGGAGCCCCGGUAGAAGAAGGCGACGGGGAGGUGGUAGACGCGGGCGAGCUGGUCGGCCCACCCCAGCGUGUAGCUCCGGAGCUCCGGCGGGGUGGGCGUGGACGGCUUGAUAGUCUCCAUGGACACUACCUCAGCCUCAAACUCCAAACUUUCGUCCAUUGUUUCGUGCUCGCGCGAGUACACAGAUCGAUGGAGAGAGAGACAGAGAGGGAGGACGCCGGGGACACGGGAAGUCACUAAAAAAAAAAAAAAAAAANAAAAAAAACACCUCCCGAUGUGAUAUUCGGCAGGGACGCAAAGGGUGCGGAUCAGGAUCAGGAUGGGAGAGUGCGGACUAUUUUUUAUUUUAUUUUUUACGAAUUAUUUUUUAUUUUAUUUUUUUUUUGCUCUUACUUACAUUCUUAUUUGGAUUGAGAAUUUUUAGCGAAUUUUUGACGAAUCAACAUUCAACACAGAUUAAAAAAAUAAAAAUUUUGUUUCUCAUUUUAUUUACUUGACAGAUCGAAACGAAUUCAUGACGAAUUAUAUUUUUUUAUAUUUUUUGUUCCUACUUAUCCUCUCAUUCGAGACAAAUCGAGGCAGGAGCGCUCCACCAACCCGGAUCCAUCUGUGUCCCUACUACUCAGGAGCACGAUGUCUCCGUAUUUAUUUUUUAUUUGGCUAAAUUCCCAAACUAUAAGACGUAUAAUAUAUAUUUUGGUUCUCAAAGUUUAAUCUUUUAUAUUUUUAGCUCAAUUUUUUAAAAUUGGUUACAAUCAAGAUUCAUAACCUAAUUUACUUAAACCCUUUUAUUUAAACAUAUAACAAUAAAAUAAUUUAAUGCAACUCAAAUAUUUACUUCAAAUUUUAAAUUUUAAAUUUUAAGUUAUUAAAUUUAAGCGCUCUUACAUGUACCCCCAUUCCCCAAUGAAGUAUUGAAGUGUAUCUUAUAAUACUAUUGAUUAUGUGACAAUAUUAUUAUUACACACUAAUUAUUAAUUACUAAACUUCAAAUAUUAUUAAUAGACCCCAUGUGCAAUUCUAAACUUUUUAAUCCCUCCAUAUAUGCAUGUAAACUUAUCGAUAAAAUUAUAUGUACUCAAAAAUAGGAAACCCAAACCAUUUCUCGUUAAAUUUUAUCUUAGGCCAAAUUACAGAAAAUUUUUCUCUAAAUAGUUACCUUUUUACCUUUUCUUUUUAAUUUUUAAAAAUAUACAUUUUGGCCCUUUAAGAUUUGAGAAAUAUUUUUAAAAAGGUAUGGUGUUAAUAGAGAGAGUAAAAUGACAUAUUAUCAUUACUUCUUUAUAAAAAAAAUAAUUUUUUAAUAUAUAUAUGUUAUUUUGAAGAAUAUUUUCUGUAUAAAUUAGAAGAAAUAGACGGAACAAUGAUGAAACUUGAUGGAGGGAGGUUAAAUUGAAUAAUUUGAAAUGUUGGAGGAAAAAAAAUAUAAUUUUUAAAAGUUAUAGUAAAAAGUGGAAAAAAAAAAAGUUUACCUAUAAGGUUUCAAUAAUUUAGCCUUUAUCUUAUCUUUGGAUUAUUAACUUUUAGCUUUUAAUACCCUUUUAAAUGUUGAUCAUCCUCUAGUCUUGCACUAACAUUUAAUAUAGCCUCGUAAAUAUGACCAUACAGUUACUGCACUAACAUUAAACGCGGAGAUCGACUGUCCCUAGAAUAAAGUGACAAAGAGUUUGACGGUUGGUACCCGAGGUUUCAAGUUCGAAUUCUAGUUGAUUCAAUUAUUAUCUAAGUUUAUUUUUAAAUAAAAUAAACAAAACAGAUAACGCGAGUUACGUGAUAUCUUAAAAAAAAAAAAAAAAAAAAAAAAGCACUGAGUGCAGUGCAAGGAACAUUGGCGAGUGGUCAUUGAUUGAUCUGUCCACAGCAAAUAAUAUCUUAUCCCAACUGUGCUUUAGAAUAAAUAUUGUGCUCAGAAUCAAUAGGAAUCACGUGCAAAGGAAUAGUCUAAAUAGAAAAUGAAUAUAAUAACCUAAAAAAAAAGUUUCAUCUUUGUGCCUGAAAAAGAUAAUAGCUAGAUAUCUUUUCAAAUUAAUUUGGAAAACAUGUAUGUAUAUAUAUUGAAUCCUUCUGAUCGAGUUUAAUUUAAUUGAUCCGACUAAUUUUAUAUAAACGUUUAAGAUAUUGGAUUUAGUCACUUGACAAAUUUUGCUAAUUAAUAUCAUUUUAGAACACAAGAAAUAGGUAUUCAAAUAUUAUUAUUUUUUGUGACUAUGUUAUUGAAAUUCGGAUAAUGUCAUUCACUUGAUUUUUAUCAUAUAUGGAGUAGCGUUAGUGUGCUAUUAGGAGUACGGUGGCUUUCGUGCUUAAUUUUGUGCUAUUUUUAAUUAUGGAACUUUCGAAUUGACGAUCGGUUUCGCUAGAUUUGAUCUAACGUAUUUGAAGUACCAAAAAAAUAAAUGUUAUGAUUUUUUGAUAUAAUUUAUUUAUUGAUCAAAAGGGUUAAUUAAAAAUCAAUUUAUUUUUAAUGGUUGAUGUGUAUGCUAUUUCUAUCGGAUAAAAUUUUGAUAGAAAAAUUUUGUACUAACUACAGCAUGAUCAAAAUCUUUGAUCGAAAUUUUUAGUACUAUAUUAUGAUUUUUUAUAAGAUUUUUAUUUUUAGCCAUCCAUAUUUAGUUAUUUCGAUCACUAGGUAAAUAAUAUCGAAAAUCUACAAAAUUUAUUUUCUACAUACUUCAAAUUUGCUAGAUCAAAACUAACGGAGCCGAUCGUCGAUUUAAAAUUUCUAUCAUCGAAAAUAGAUUUGAAGCACUGAAACCUCCAUAAUCCUAAUCGUACACUAGUCCUACUCUCUCUCUCUCUCUCUCUCUCAAUAUAUAUAUAGAAUUAUGCUACUAUACUAUCAAUAGUACCAAGUUCUUGGUACUAUUGAGUUUUCGGCCGUUGAAUGAANAUAGAAGCUCAAUUCUAUAUAUAUAUAUAUAUAUAUAUAUAUAUAUAUAUAUAUAUAUAUAUAUAUAUGUGGCUACGAAAAAGUGAAUGCGUCUAAAUUUCGGAUCACCGAUAUUGAAUGAUGCAAGAAAAGUUUAUUAGCCUCGAUGGAAUGCGACGAUCGGAGGGCGUUUCAUUUUUGGUGUUUCGAAUUCGAGCGCCAUUAGAUCAUAGAGCACGUUCAAUAACUUGGUUAUUUGUUUUUUGAGUGAAAAUUAAGCAAUUAGACUACAAAACAUUCAACUGAAAAGAGCUUAGAUCGGAGAGUUUCAACCACAUUCAGAAUUAGUACAGCACGAUCUCACGCGCAUCAUAAAAUUCAUCACCUGUCCGUCUUUAACAGUGAUACAAACUUAUAAAGACAUAAUUUUGGAUCCUUUCAAGAACUACUGUGGAAGCCGGAAACAUCACAACGUGUGAAAACCAAAGUUUAAAGAUUUUCUAAGAAUAAAUAUAAUCAGUAAACCGAGUAGCCAUAGGCAAGAGACUAAAAGUCACUUAGCUUUUUAGAUUCUCUAAAAACAAUAAAUCAUGAGUCUUUGUUCGCAAUGAUAAGGAGUCUUACUUCUUCGCUAAGCCCCGAUCUCAAAAAAAUAUUAUAUUCCAUUUCUGUAAGUAUACAGUAGAUCCGAACUAGUAAGAUUGUCGCGAGCGUUUGAUUUUGCCAACUUAGUUGCGAUUCUAUCAUCGAGAGACAAGAACCAUACUAUUCACUCCGUAGCUAGCCGAAGAGCCAAAUGAGCUCUCCAACUUCUUCUCCCUUCACGAAAAGGAAGCUUCUUUUUGUGAUUAGAAUAAUUAUAAGGAGUCCGCCUGGGAUACUAUCGAUUAUAUUAAGGAUUUGAUGCUAUCGAGUUUUCUACCGUUAGAUUUAAUCAUUUGAUUAUUUUUAUCCGUUAAAUUAUAUUAUUCAAUCAACCACUCACUCAACCCUAGAGUGUCUACAUCAUCCUAACCACACAUUUUUCAAUCCAAAGGAUAAAAAAUUAAUAGCACCAAUAGCUUGGUGCUAUUGAUAGUAUUUCAGUCUAGUUCUAAUUAUGAGUAUUUACGAGCUUUUUAAGAUUCUAUUAUUGAGGAAUGAGGAUGGCCCAAAAUGCAUAAUUAAUAACAAGAAGUUGUGCUGCACUGAGUUAGCACUAGAAUAGCAGAAAUUUUGGUUGAUUCCUCAAAUAGUUAAUGAAAGUGACAGGCACUGCAAGAUUGUUGCCCAGACAUUGGCAUUUCCUUCAUUUUUUGUCUCACAUUGAAAGUUUUGCCUGGUGAAAAAUGCUUUGGUACAAAGAUAUUAUCUGUACUAAUUAUUGAUCGGUAAAAAUGUUAGUAAAGAUCAUGCAGAAAUAACUAUUUAACUUGCACUUACUACCGAUAACCUCGUUAAGCGAGGGUGGACCAGAGACACAGUCUGUGUGCUCUACAGGGCCCACGAUGAGUCAGUGGACCAUCUAUUCACUCAAUGCGUUUUUACCAAGUACACCAUAGUGAUGGGACUCGAGGACGUUCGGGCGGAGGAAGUAGGUGACGGCGUGCUUGUAGUUUGGGAUAAGUAGAUGGGUGGAGCUACGGUGCGCGCUAGGAGGAAUGGACUUUCAGAAUUGGUCGCAUACUGAUGGACGAUUUGGAAGGCCCGGAACAAUCAUGUUUUUUGUAACCUACUGUUUGACCCUGAUUUAGCCGUUCAAAGGCUCAAGGCACUCCUAACUUCGUGGAAAGAUCUGCUAUGAAUUUUUUUUUUUUUUUUGGGGUGUUGUUUUUCUUGAGGUUCUUGUUGCCUCACCUCUGUAGUCAAAUUUAUCUAUUCAAUAAAUGAAGCAGGUAGCGUGCUACCUAUUCUCAAAAAAAAAUACUUCUUAUUUUGAUUACUACAGAAAUAUUCAUUUACUUGAUUUUAUGUUUUGUAAUUAUGAGAAACUAUUGUGUACACUUGGUGUACUAGUACAUUCUAAUGCUGCAUUUUUAUUGAUUAUUUGUUUUAUUUGAUUUUUCUAUCUCUAGCAGCCGAUAUGUUGUCGUUUUUUAGUUAAAAAUUGAGUAAUUGAAUUAACAACAUGAACUGCAGUAAAAAAAAAAAAUCUAUACAACAUUUUCAAAACAUGUUUACAAAAAAGAAAAUUUUCUUUUAGUACGAGCAUUAACAUAUUAAUUAAUAAUAUACAAAGAUAAUAUUCUGGAGAGCUUAUUGUUGUAUUGCUCUAAGUAAAAAAAUAGUAAAUGCUUUGGAUUAUCUUAACUAUCAUCCUUUCCGGUCACUACAAUAUAAUUGGUUAAUUAUUUUGUUGUUAAAUAUUGUUAGUACUCAUAAUAUAGAGCAUUCCGAUUGAUUUAUAGAUUCAACUCAAAACAUAAUGUGUAAUUUUUUCAAAAAAAAAAAAAUAUUAAGAACCUAUAUAAACAAUAUUUUGGAGGACUCUAGGGAAUGGGAAAAUUUUUAUCACUGUACGAUAAGUUUUUCGUUUGUUUUGUUAAGUGAUACUAUGAUGGACAUAUCGCAAUGGAUAUAUUAAUUACGGUUACUCCAAAAAAUAUAUAUUUUUACGUCCUCAACCUCAUUAUAUAUAUAUAUAUAUAUAUAUAUAUAUAUAUAUAUAUAUAUAUAUAUAUAUAUAUUCCGAUCAUUGAUUAUUAAUCUUUAAAAUGAUUAAAUUCUCAUUAUCUUCUCCCUCCCCAUGCUUGUCCAGCCCAGAAAAACUUGCUUUUUAGCCCGGGCUCAUGCGAUACCCACUUUGGGCCCGAUCCAAUAACGGCCCAAUAUCGAUGGGCUUGGGUUUUUAUGCCUUGUUGAGGCCCAAUCCUAGUAAACCCAAAAGGCCAAUUGCUUGGUUAUUACUAAUUGGUCUAAGUCGUCAGGAACUUAGAAAAAUUUCGGUUCCACCCAAAUCCGUAGUACGGAUUUUUGUGAGCAAAAUUACUAAGUCCGUGACAAAGCGCUUGUUUAGCUCGGCUCGUGCAACAUCUUUUCCGCGUAGAGGAAGAUGCUUAGUAAACGAAAAAAAAAGAAAAGAAAAAAGACAAGAGUUUCGGAUUUUGGUCUGUAGUUCUAGACUACUGGCGAAUUUUAAUUUAUGAUUAUUUCAAAUAAACUUUAAUUUUUUUGAACAUAGGUUAGUUUAUUGGUUAUUAAAGAUUUAGAUAAAUUCAACUAUUAUUUUGUUAGAUCUAACCAUAAAUUCUAAAUACAGAUUUCGUUAACUGUUAAGGCUAGCAGCUAAUAACAAUGUUAAUUUUAAAAUCCUCAAUUAAUUCUCAAAAUUCCAACUAAAAAAAUGUUAAAAAGCAUUUACUAAUAAGUCUAUUUUUAACCUGGUCUAUUGGUAAGGUGUCCUCAUUAAUUAAUUAGUUAAAAAAAAAAAAAAUGUUCAUCCACAGUAGCGUACUCCCCGUAACGCCAUCACCAUCACGCUUGCUAGAUGUUCAAACUAUCAAUCUAGAUGUUCAAAGAGAAGUUAUUGCCUGCACCUGUUGUUUAAGGAGUACGUCUGGUAUACUUCUAGAAGCACGGAGCGCUCCGUGCUUCCAAGUUGUUUUCGAUGUUGGGACUUUCGAAUUGACGAUCAGCUCCGUUAGAUUUGAUCUACAGUAUUUUAAGUAUUUAGAGAAUAAAUUUUGCAAUUUUUUGAUAUCAUUUGCCUAGUGAUCGAAGUGGCUUAAAAUUAACGACUGAAAAUAAAAAUCUUACAAAAUAUGAUGAUAUGACAUUAAAAUUUUAGAUCAAAAAUAUUGAUCUUGUUUUCUAUAGUAUAAAGAAUUUUCUAUCAAAAUUUUAUGUGAUUUGAAUAUUUCUACACCGCUAAACUUGCAAAUGGCACACCAUGGCCAUUAAAAUUAUUGAUUUUGAGCCUCUUUAAUCACUAGGCAAAUGAUAUCGAAAAAUCACAAAAUUUAUUUUUUACGUACUUCAAAUACUUUAGAUCAAGUUUAACGGAGCCGAUCAUCAAUUCGAAUAUCCCAAUAUCGAAAACGAUUUGGAAGCAAGAAAGCUCCGUGUUUCCAGAAACAUACCAGUUUACUCGUUGUUUAAGUACAAUUAAUACACCGCACCGUCAAAAUUCUAUCAUAAAAAAGUCUACCGUAUCAAUUGAUACAGUUACACUCUAUUUGCAAUUCGAAUUGUAGCAGUUUGAUUCGAGUAUAUCAAACUAAACAAUAUACUUACAUCAAUAUGCAGUUAUAAUUCCAGUGGCUAAAUUACGGAAAACCCUCCUGUCAAAACUUGCUUUUUCACUUUCCCCUCCUGUCAUUUAAAAAUCUAUACUUUGCUCCCUUAUAAAAUAAAAAAUGUUCACAAGGGGGUAUGGUGUGACAAAAUGACCAUUUUGUCCUUCGCCAUUUUCGUCUUCUCCCUCAUCCUCCUCAUCCGCGGCGGAGGAGGCCGACCUCGGGCGGGACGCAGGCGACGACGCCGUCGUCGAGGAGGACGAUCUCGUUGAGGGUGUCGGCCAUGCGGCCGAUGGAGGGCGGGAUGCAGCUGCCGAGUUUGUUGUGGGCGAUGACGACAAUGGAGGCCGGGGAGUCGCCGAGGUUGGAGGGGAUGGGCCGGCGGCGGCGGAGGCGGUUGGAGUUGAGGAAGAUGGCGUCGAGGGGCAGUCGAAGAGGAGGUUGAGCUCGUGGAGGAGGGCGAGGCCGGCGAGGGCGCCGUCCCGGAAGCCAUCGAAGCAACAAGAAAGAGGGGCGGAGGGGUAUUUUUGGCAUAAAAAUAAAUAUUAUAACGGAAACCUAACAGAACCCUAACGGUAGGAGGUGAAGUGCACAUUUUUUAUUUUACAAGGAGGCAAGGUGUAGAUUUUUAAAUGACAAGGAGGGAAAGUGAAAAAGCAGGUUUUGACAGAGGAGUUUUCUGUAAUUUAGCCUAGUUUUAAUUAUAUAUAACCAAAUAGUUUCUUAUUAGAUAUAUUUUAUUAGUUCAGCGAGAGUAAAAAAUUAAAUACAAAUAUUUUUAGAGAUUUUUCCAGGAUAAGUGAUAUGGCAAGAAGUUGUAGCAACUAACUUUCCAUUCACAUAAGAUGGAUAUUAAGUAGUUGGUGAUUCCAUCCUAUCAAUUAAUCAACAAAUACAAGUAGGAAUUGACCAACACUGUCUAACUGGAACAAAUAUUUUAUUUUUCAACUGGGGACUUGCAAAUGGAGACAGCCAGACAGGGAGCAAAGGCUUUUGGUAGAUGAUAUGCUUCUCUCACUUUGUCACCUGAUGACUUGUACAUCUAUUUAUUAGUGAACUAUUUUUAGAGUCCCGCUGCUAUACUCUUGUGACGACGUUCAUCUUCGUACUCAUAAAUUAUUUUCGAUGAUAGAGUUUUUGAAUCGACGAUCCAUACUGUUAAACGUUAUCUAGAUCAUUUAAAAUUUUUAGAAAUCAAAUUUUAUAAUUUUUUGACAUUAUUUAUCUUACGAUCAAAAGCUCGCAAAAUUGAUAAUUUUUAACGACCGGUAUAAAAUAGUUGCUAGUUUAACGAUAUAAAACAAUCAGAAUCGGUUAAAUUUUUGAUAGAAAUUUUAUUCACUAUUUAGAUAAAAGAUCAAUAACUCCGAUCUUAAAUUGAAGAAUUCAAUCAUCUAUGUUUAGGAUAUCAUUCUAUUUCGACUGUUUAUUUAUACCCAUCGAUGGAUUUUAUCGUGACUUUGAAAAAUUACGAAAUUUAUUUUUUAAAAAUUUUAAAUACUCUAUAUCAUAUUUGACGGAGUGAAUCGUCGAUUCAAAAUCUCCAUCAUCGUAAACGAUGAGUAUGAAGGGCUCUAUACUCGUAAGAGUAUAGUAAUCAUACUCCUAUUUUUAGGAAAAAUUUCUUCAAUACCCUUCCAAGCAGCUCUAAUUUCAUGAAUACCCUUCAAAAUUUUAAAAUUUCAUAUUUGCCCUUCAAAAGUAUGGAAAAGUUUCAAAAAUACCCUCACUGCUAGCAAUCUGUUAUAUUAGUUUCAAAAUACCAAUUGUACCCUCUAUUUUAAUUUAAUCACCACUCUCACAAAUUUUUUUUUGAAUAUAUGGAGACCCCCUCAAUUACAACCCAUUGUGAAAUAGCCUUCUAAAUUUAACUUUUUAAUUAAAGUCUUUAAAUUGAAUGAUUUUUUAUUAUAAAAUUAGAGAUUUCAUCUAAUCCAUUAAUGAUUCAAACAAAUUUAAUAAUUUUAAUAACUUCGUAGUAUAUAAAAUUAAAUAAGUUUCUGUUCAAAAAAGAAAAUUAAUAAAAACUUCAAGGAUUUAUUUAAAUGACCUAUAGUUGAUAGUUUUAGUAUAAAUAUCAAAAAAAUAAGUGAAAAAAAUUUGAUUUUUAAACAAAAAGUGAACAAAUUAAGGGUAAAAUGGUAAUUUCAUAUUUUGAAAUCAAAUAAAAAAAUGCUAUGCCGACAGAAGUUAGCAAAAAGUAAUGGCGAGGAUAUUUAUGAAAGAAAUAUUGUAUUUAGAGGGGUAUUUGUGAAAUUUAAAAAAUUAAAAGGGUAGUUAUGAUAUUUCAUAAUUUUGUGAGGGUACAAAUAAAAUUAACCCCUAUUUUUAUGUAUUCACCGGCAAACUGUACAAGCUGGUGGAUUGAUCUAGGUAGAUCAAAUCGGUGAAUGCAUUACUAGGAGCAUCUCGGCUAUUUAAUCGACAUAUAAAUAGCGAUUCUCUUUCCUUCUACUUCUGCAUGGCGGAUCUAAUUUUCGAGAGUAAGAUCUUAUCCAGAGCAUUCUAUUUUCUUAUCACAGUUUGAGUUGAUAAAAUUAGAAUAACGAUGGAGUUUUCUCUGAGUUUAGGAGAAUUUCCGCUAGUGUUCCUUUGGUACUCCUCUACGAGGCCAAAGGGGAAAGAACCAAUCUUUUUUUCUUUCAAAAAUUUUUGGCAUCGAUUUUUUUUUAGUUCUUUUUUUCCCCACUUUUGAUCCGACCUAACAUCUUACUGUGAAAUUGGUUUCAUAACCUACAGUACUAUGAUCUCAAAAUAUACUAUAACAUUACACAAUAAAUUUUAAAAUGCUAACUCCUGAUAUAUAGUUUUUAAGACUAUGAACAAAUAAUAAAUUUCAAAUAUUAUUUAAGUUUUUUAGAUAUUGCUCGUCACGUCCAUUAAUUAGAUAAUAUUAAUAAUCCAAUAUUUAGUGUGGUACAUAUGAUGUACGGAUGCACAGGGUUCGUGCAACAAUCUCUCAGUACGACCAGCGAAUAGGGGCCCACAAUCUGACCGACAUGCGCCAUCGAUCUACUCAAUGCGCUGCUUAAUUCAACUAAUCAUCAUUAAUAAAAACCAAACAACCCACACUUUUUAAAGCACCUGGGCUAUACUGCUACGUGUACCUUAGAAUGUACCCCAGAAUACUACGGCUUUUUGAAUGAUUUGAAAUUUUAAUCCGAUAAAAAUUUGAAGUUUAAAAGUUACAUUAAUUUUAAGGGCUCGAAAACAUUGAUUAACCGAUAACAUUUUGGUUCAUUUUGGAUAUGGAUGGUAAUAAUAGAAGUUACUUUUUUUGGAAUAAGAUUUAAAAUAUUUUUUUUACAGCUUAUUAUUUUACGGACUAGAUGAUCGAUAUACCUCAUCGUAUUUUCUUAUUUAUUUUAUUUUUAAAUUAUUAUUAAAAAUAUUAAAAUAUUAUAUUUUUAUUUGGUUUUUAAUGCUUCGCGUCAAUAUUUUUUUUUAUUUUGAGAGAAAGAUAGCAUGCUAUUCGUUUAAUUUUUUAAAAAAUAAAUUUUAUUGAAAAUAUAAAAUAACUAAACUUUGAAUUUAAAAUUUAUGUUAUAUAUGAAGUGAUCUCUAUAGUGUUUAAUCUUAUUUCCUCCUCUUCUCUGCUUGUACAGGUCAUAAUUUACUUUCAUUGUUGUAAUGGUUUUACAAGCUUAAUAAAAAUUUAGAAACAAAUUUUAUUUAAACAAAAAUCAUGUAAUUUAUAAUAUUAUAAAAUUUUAUUUAAUUUUUAGCGACAAAUCUUGUAAAAAGUAUAUAUAUAUAAAAAAAAAUAGGACACAACGUUUUGAAUCGCAAAAUAAUAAACCAAUGCUUAGCUUUUUUAUAUAUAUUUUUUUAUAGGAUCUCGUACCAUCACGGACAUGCUCUCUCAUCUAGUCAUCUCAUCAAAAACAUUCCAAAAAGGGCCGAAAUAAUAUUUGGUAUUGACGGGACAUUGAAAUUUAUCUAAUGUAAGAGUUACUUUUUUAUUUUUUAAAAAAAAUUAUAAAACUAAUAUGAUAAAAUUAGAUUAUUACAAUCCCAAUAAUAUUUUAAUUUUAAACUAAACAAAAAUAUGUAUGUGAUAUAUUCUCCCCCGCAAUCCCAACGAAAUUAAGCUUUAAACUUCUAAUCUUUUACCAGAAAAUGAGAAAAAAAAAAUUCUACUAAUCAAUUCGCAGGGUACCAUUAUUAGUCAGAUUAGAUUAGGAAGAUUAGAUCAUUAAAGAUUAAAUUAAGAAGAUAAGAAAGCGCUGCAGGGACAAGCUGGCACACCGCGCUCACCACCACCCUCACACUCACCAUCAGCAUCGCCACCGCCAACAACAGCAACAAAAAGAAGCGCCUUCCCCAUCCCCCCCCCCCCCAAUCCCGUGCUUCCCCCUCCCCUCUCCCAUGGCCCCACCCCUUUUCCCCCUCCCUCACUCCACCCAGAUUCCCACCCUAUCUCCCCCUCCUCUUCCGACGACGACGACGACGACGACGACGACGCCAUGCCCAGCGUAGGGAUCAAGCUCUACAGCGUCCUCUUCAAGCUCCUCCUCCGCCACCGCCUCCACCACCUCCCCGGCUCCGGCUCCUCCUCCGGCGGCGGCGGAGGAGGAGGCGCCGCCGCCGCCGGAGGAAACCCUUUCGGGGUAUCAUCACGCCCCGACGCCGAUGGCGUCGCCACCAAGGACAUCCACAUCGACCCCCUCACCUCCCUCUCCGUCCGCAUCUUCCUCCCCGAUCCCUCCCUCUUCGCCCCCUCCCCCCACCAGCACCCCCCUCUCCGCCGCAACAGCUUUCCCGCUCCGCCGCCCUCCGCUGCGGCCCCCGAUCUGUCACGCCGCGCCAGCUUCGGCGCCGCCGCGUACCGCGGGUACCUCCCCGCCCUCGAUGGGGGCGGGGGCCGGGGCCGCGCUGCGGCGGCGCGGCGGCUCCCCGUGGUGGUCCAGUUCCACGGGGGCGCGUUCGUCUCCGGGAGCGCCGAUUCGGCCGCGAACGAUCUCUUCUGCCGCCGGAUCGCGCGGCAUUGCGAGGCGAUCGUGAUCGCGGUCGGGUACCGGCUCGCGCCGGAGUGCCGGUACCCCGCGGCUUUCGAGGACGGGCUCAAGGUGCUCAAUUGGCUCGCGAAGCAGGCGAAUCUGGCGGAAUGCAGCAAGUCGAUGGGGAGCAUCAGGCUCGGGGCCGGGGGCGGCGCUGGGGCCGUGACCGCGAAGGCCGGUGUGCAACGCUACAUUGUCGAUGCCUUCGGGGCCUCGUUGGUGGAGCCGUGGCUCGCGGCUCAUGCCGAUGUCUCCAGGUUCCUUUCUGCCCUCCUGCUGUUCUUUAGCAUUGCUCGCGCAAUUGUGGUUUGAUCUGUAGAAUAUUCAUGGUCACUUUCAUUUUAUUGCAUCGUAGGAUAAAGAUGUGUAGUUUGUUUGAAUUGCAAAAUAAUACUGCAAACUAAAAAAACAAAAAAAUGGUGAUGUUGUAGGAUUAUGGUGAGAAUUAAGGGGUGGAAGCUUGUGCUCAAAAUUUUAUGCCCAUUGGUACCGGACUAGGUGAUGCAAUUGGUUAAAUUAGCUCUGAAUGCUUAUGACACGCCGAACAAUGUCUAGUACUGUAAGUUUUAAUAGCUUAAGGAUAGCUGAAGAAAGAGGGCUAAGAAUACGCCUUCUCAUUGUCUUCUUAUGUUCAUUUUGUACUUAAAUAUGUGGCUAGUUGAUUGCGCAGGUUCAAAGGUAUAACCAGUUAUUGCUACUUGCAGAAUAUAAUCCUAUGGAGUUUUAGCUGUGUUGAAUAUGAUGGUCUUGUGAGAUAUCUGUGAUCUUGUAUGUAUGUGCUUUUGAAAGUUGCUUGAAAUUGAAUAUUGUGUAGGAUUAUUAAACUAUAAAUAGGGAUUUCAUGUACGAAUGACGAGUAUUGCAGUCAAUGAAGUUUUUUUGAAGGAUUAACUGCAUACAUAGAUUUAGGAGGUUGCCAAUUUGUAUCAUGUUAAUGAUCAUGAGGAUAAUAAGCAUAGAAAUAUGAAUAACUGAAAGUCAGAAUUUGGAUUAAGGAGCACAAAAUUACUGCUAAAUCAAAUUGAGUUAGAAGAACAAUCUUUUGUUCCAUUGGCCGAUUUCCCAGGCUAGCUUGUUUGAUCGAUUGGGCGAUCUAUUGAUUUAAUCUGUGCAUGUUUCCAAACGAAGCAUCAUGAAGAACCAGGAAAAUAAAGUGGAGUUGCCCUCUUUGUUUUCUUGUUUUAUUUUCUCAUUGAGCACUGUUUGAAAAUGCGCGCCUGAGGCGCGCGCCUAGGCGCGAGGCGCAGGCCUCAGCGCCUCAGCAAUAGUGAGGAGCAGCACUAUUGCUGAGGCGCGCGCCUCCGGCCUGAGGUGCGUGCCUCAAGAGGCGCGAGGCGUGCCUGAGGCGCGCGCCUUGCAAUAUUUAAGUUUAUAGGGAUUUUUUAUUCAAGUUUUUAAGUUGUCGGAUUUUGAAUUUACAUCUUAUACUUUAACCUGAUAAGAUAUUUAAAAAAUCUUAAAAGAAAUUUUUAAAAAAUGUAAGUUUUCGGGUUGUCGGAUUUUGAAUUUGUAUCUUAUACUUUAAACCCGAUAAGAUACUUAAAAAAUCUUGAAAGAAACCCACAAAACUCUUAAAAAACCAGCCGCUCGCCCCCUCCUCUCCAUCUCUUGUUCUCCCACAUCCUCUCUCUGUCGAGCAUCCAACAGUAGCUGUGUUAGCAGCGGCAGCAAACCAGCGGUGGCCAGAACAAGCAACUAGCAGCAAUGGUAGUAGAAAAUAAGAAGCAGCUGCAGCAUAAGCAAAAACAUCAAAUUAAACUAUAUGCAUGUGUUUUCUUUACUCUUUGAUGGUUAUUUGGAAUUUAUUAAUGUAGAACAUCAAAUUAAACUAAACUUAGUAAAUGUGAGCCUCGCCUUCUUGAGGCACGCGCCUCGCAGUGCACCUCGCGCCUAGGCUCCAGGAGAGUCUUGUGCCUCUCCGCGCCUCGCGCCUGACUUUGACUGGAUCAGAAGCUAGAGAGAGAGAGAGAGAGCGCGCGCGCGCUUCAAUAUGCUGUCAGCUACUUGGCCUUGCUUGUACAAGAAAGAAAUGAUAUUUGAGGUCUAUCAUCAACUCAUGGAAUAUGAGAAGAAACGGGCAAUGGUGCAAUUUUGGAGAAAGAAACACAUUUUUGCUACCUCCUCCUUUUCCUUCUGUUCGGAAUAUCUAGCCAAUGACCGUCUAUGAUAUACUAAAACCAUUUCAUCAAUAUCUAAUGAAAUUUAAUGAAUAUAACACCUUAAGCAAAACAAAUUUAUGAUGGUGUUAACCUUGCUUCAACUAAUAUCAUGCUUUGUUUGAGCUUUCUCUUCAAUUUAUGUCUUCUUGGAUUUUGCCAGGUUGCAUUAAGGAAAAGUCGUUUUGAUUUCAUUCUUCUUGUGCUAUUAUCAUAAAGCAUCAUUUGAUUUCAAGUAUGACAUGGUGAACAUCUUAGAUUCAUUAGGAGAGAUAAUUCAGCUAGUGGCCCCCUUAAUACUAGAGCAUAGACACUGAUCGAGUUUAGGUUGAUGUAACUUGAUAGACACCGAUUAGGCAACUUUUUCACUGGUAUGCACAUUGAUAUACCUUAAGUUGCUUCUGUGCCAUAUAUGCCAAAUAGCAUGCCAACUAACAUGCACUGGCAAUUCUAAAGGCAAUACACAAGCUUAUAUCUAGUUCUUUAAUGUGAUUGAAGAUUUAUAACUUUUGACUAAAUAUUCUCUGCUUGAAUCUUUGUUUAAAAGCGACACACAAGUGAGGUCUAAUCCAUGCAGUGAGUAGAUAAACUCUAAACAUUAAAACAAGGUAUUACUAAACUCUGCCGUCAUAGAAGAAACAGAGAAGAAUGUGAACAUUUCUGUAUUAUCAAAAAAUUUUAAAAAAAAAUCUUUCGAAGCACUAUAUUAAGUGUACUAAUAUCAACCAAUUGCUAAUAGAUGGCACAUUAGAUGAUUGAUAUGUUAGACACUAACACUACAUGGCUAGCUUAAUUUUGGUACUCAUGUUAUGCAUUAUCCUUUUUAUGCUGUACCAAUGGUAACUUCUUCCUGAAGAAAAUAUCGUUUUUUUAACCCCUGUGCAAAUGCUUUUCUUACCUCUUUUUGUAAUAACCUAUUCAUGCUGUUGGUUAUUCUUUUGCUAUAAUCUGGCAUGUUUUGAAAUUGAUCCUUCAAUGUUGCUUUUCAAAUUUCAUGAAGUUGAUUAAUUCACUGGUUAUUAUUUUCCCUCUUACGAAGUGCUCCCUAUUCUAAAUUUCCUUCCUACUAUGCUGUAACAGGUGUGUUCUCCUCGGCGCAAGUUGCGGAGCAAACAUCGCAGAUUAUGUGGCCCGAAAGGCAGUCGAGGCUGGGAAGCUAUUAGACCCCGUCAAAGUGGUCGCGCAGGUUCUAAUGUACCCAUUCUUCAUUGGCAAUGUCCCAACUCAAUCGGAAAUAAAGCUAGCAAACUCCUACUUCUACGACAAGCCGACGUGCCUGCUUGCCUGGAAACUCUUCUUACCUGAGGAAGAGUUCAGCUUAGACCAUCCUGCCGCAAACCCUUUAGUACCUGGAAGGGGCCCGCCAUUGAAGUGUAUGCCCCCGACUUUGACUGUGGUCGCGGAGCACGACUGGAUGAAGGACCGCGCAAUCGCUUACUCCGAGGAGCUCCGGAAGGUGAAUGUUGAUGCGCCGGUCCUUGAAUACAAGGACGCAGUCCAUGAGUUUGCAACACUUGAUAUCCUGCUCAAGACGCCGCAAGCUCAGGCCUGUGCCGAGGAUAUUGCUAUAUGGGUCAAGAAGUAUAUAUCUUCUCGCGGACAUGAGUUCUCGUAUUAGAUAUUGUAGAUUAGACGGUACGGGUUUUUUCAAACCAUUUUAGGUAUUGGGAAAAGAGCUGGAACCUUCCUCCCUGAAGUUAAGUUAUUGCACGACGAAGGCUACGGCUACUGAUCAUUAGUACGUUCAACCACGCAGAGCUACAUUUGACGCAGUAAGAGAGAGCGCAGAGCUGCAUUUGAUGCAGUAAGAGAGAGAGAGCGAGAGGAAGGGAGAUACAGGGAGAGGAUGUAUUGAUCUGCUUUAACUUGUGUUAAUGACAGUCAAGUUCUUUGGCACGUGUUAUGCCAUUAAAUGCACGAACCAUUCUAUAUAAAUAAAUAUCCAUGAUAAUCCAAAUUCUCUUUUUCUUUAAAUGAUGAUAUCAACAGAUUUGGUUUUGAUAAUCUAUUUUGAUAUUGACAAGCGGAUUUAUCAAAAUUAAAUAAAUUUGACCUAAUUUAGUAAACCUAAUAUGCUUGCUUUCAAAAUCAUGCCCGUUGAUAUCACUUUGCCCUUUCUUCUUGUUUUCCUCUUGCUCUUUUCAUCUCCGUCUCUUCUAAGGCAGUAAAAUUAUCUAGUUCUACUCUAUGUGCUGCUUAGAUAUCAGCUUUGAAGAUACCCAAAAGAGUUCAUUUUAAUACACAACUAUAUAUAUAAGAAGAGAAAGAAAUAACAUCUCACUUGCUAACUAUAAGAAUUACCAAUAAAGAUAAUCACCAACCAACCAAUGAAACAGUAAUCUGAAACAAGCCGGAGAAAUACAUGGAAGGGAAACAAUAUAUAAGCAAACAACAACAGGAAGGUAACUAACAGUAGGCCUCUUCUCUUCAACCUAGUAGAAGAGUGAAAUUAGGAACGCGAGCCCGGCGAAGAGGGCGGAAGCGGUUGACGGGAUCUCGCGGAAGGCGGAGGAGCUACCUCCGCCACCUCCGCCACCUCCGCCACCAGCAGUUGGCGGGGGUGUGGGGCCGUCCGCAGCCAUUGCAGACGCGCUCAUCAGCAAUACCGCCAUGAAGAGCACCGCGGUGCGAACGGCGAGAGAAGAACUUGCAGUAGUUGCAGCCAUUUCCUUGAAGAGGUAGCAGAGGAGAUGAUACUUGCUUUGGUUACUGGGGUUUUGGUAUGAGGUGAGAGUUCUCUGCUCUGCAGUUUAUAACCUGGAGAUGAUUGAAUUGGUCAAGGUAUAGGGUUAUUGUUGAAAUGUCUUAUUCAAAAACCCAAAAAAAAAAAAAAGAAGAAGAAGAAAACAAUACCAAUACACAACUAAGAAAAUGGUGCCAUGUAACCAAAAUACAACAUUAGUGUGCUAGAUUAUUAUUAUUGGCUUUAUUCAACACGAAAUAGGCGACGACCAGAAGAAAACAACGAGGUAGCCGCCCAGUACGUAACGUAUGCAUAGUUCCCUUCAAAAUAUAUUGUCAAAGGUUACACCUAACAAAGCCUGGUAUAUAAAGAAGCUUCUAUGAUUGAGCUACAAAUGGGAGAGAGAGAGAGAGAGAGGUUAGAAGGUUCCACCUCAAUUUGUAAUAAUAAUAUAACUUACGUGGCGGUUCCGCCACCUGCAAACUGGUACCAAAAAAUAAAUCUAAUACAAAAUAAUUUUUAUUCACGUGCACAAUAUAAAUCGGAUGAAUUAUAUCAAAAGAAGAUGAAACACAGAAUUUUAAUUUAAGGUUAAUUGUAUAUUGUUUUCUGUAAAUAUAUUAAAUAGCAGAUAUGUUUCUAUAAAAUUUAACUUUUUAUAUUUAUUCCUACAAAAGUCUUAACGAUUUUAAAUAUCUUCAUGCUGUUACGAUCUUUAUACAGUUAACCAUAAAUAAAAUACUUAAUUUUGAUUAGUUAAUGAGAUAAAUUAACAUUUUUAUUCUUUUUUUAAUUAUUUGUGAAGGUAGAAAAAAAAAAUGACCACCGGAGAUUUUUGGGAGGAUAUUACUAUAUAAUUCUAGCAGUAAAUUACGUUUCUGAAAGGACAUAUUUGUGAUAGUAAAAGUGCCAUUGCACUUAUCUUUUAUCGAAAUAUAAAUAAUGCUUUAACGGUAACAAAUCAGAGAAGCGAAUGCGGAUAUUACUAGACUUUUGUAAAAAUAAAUAUAAAAAAUUAAACUUUGUAGAAAUAUAUUUACUAUUUGAUAUAUUUACAAAAAAUUGUAUGAAAUUAACUCUAAAAUUUGUGCUAUUGAAUGACGAAUACGGAAAUUUAAACUUAAGGAUUCUAAGAAAUUUAAACUUAAAUAUUCUACGAUAACUAACUAGCUGGUUUGCUAGUCCAAUUAGUUAACCUUUAAAACGGGGAAAUUUACGUAACGUGUCCAAAUAUAUAUCUAAUUACAUGUACAGAACUUUGGAAUUUUCUUUUGAGGAAAGAUAUACAUCCUUAUCAUAGACGAACAAAUUAAAUUACAAUUUCCACAUAUAGAACUUUUCUCCUUGGGUAAAAAAAAAAAUACCAGAAUUGUUACACUUGUCAACCAAUCAAACCCAGUUUAUUCUUUCAUUUUCUAAUUAAUUUAAUUAUUUGUCCUAUGUAACUGUAACAUUGACUUUUGUAAGUCAUUAAAUUAAACCAUCAAAAAGGCUUAGUUCUACGGAAAUGCUUAAUCGUCACGCAAACAAGCAUGCGGAAGAAGUCAAAGGUUGGAAAUUUAAAAAAAUUUAAAAUUUUAUAGAAAUCUAGUAUUUUUAUUUUUCAAUUUUUCUUUUACAAAAAAUAUAAAAAAAUAUUUUUCAAAAAGUUAGUUUCUUUAAAAGUAAACAAGNAAAAAAAAAAAAAAAAAAAAAAAAGGGAAUGAUUUUCGAUGCUGCGUAGAUGACAUUUGAGCUGCAGGUAAAUAUGAUAUUAGCAUUGUGUUUGAUACUGCAGAGAUUAUUUGGACAAAUUUUAUUGCUGAGGAGAAGAUCUAUGCAAUUCUACACGCUAUAAACAUUGUCACUUUCCUUUUCUGUUGUUGAACUACCAUUAACAGUGAUUCAAAAAAAAAAACAAAAAAAAACAGUUAUUAUUGUGAUUACUUGGGUGCAAUGAGUUGGACAAUUGCUGGCCUGGUGGCUGAUUGCAAUGUUAUUCUGCAUCAGCACAAUAACAUUCACCUCCUCUAUUUGUAUUACAAGAGCUUUUAACCUUCGAGCGUAUUAUCUAAGAAAAGAUCCCUUACAACGAACAAUCCAUCCAAAAAAGAUAUCUUAUGGUGAUGGUUGACGAAGGGGAUAUGGAAUGGGCCCUUGGUGAAGAUGUUGGUGAAGUUUGGGAGAGGGCAACGCGUGGAGAUCGUAAUAGAAAAAGGGUGACGAACACAUCUUUAGUUGUAGCUUGCUUAUGGAUUACAUGGGCAGAAAGGAACAAUAUAAUUUUCGGAGGGAUCAAUGGUAAGCCGCUGGCAGUGGUCAAUAAGGGUAGAUUGCUGGCGAAGCAAUAGGAGGAUAUUUGUGUGGACAAUCAUCACUUAUCUUAGAUUGAUUGUUAUAAUCUGGCAGAUUUUUUUGUAGACGGUUUCCAACUAUUUUUUCUUUUUCUUUUUCUUUUUUUCGAAAUUAGUUGCCUCAUUUCCGUAGCAAUCAAAUCUGAUAAACUAUUUAGGUUAUAUAGCAGUACAGUAAUUAAUGGUGCACAAAUAAUAAUAAUUAAAACACCACGUCAUUUUUACAUCAACGAUGUGUCAAAUAAAUUAAAUUGUGGGAUAUGAAAUAUGGUUAUAAUAACUCUGAAAGUUAGAGGUAAAAAUUAUAAUAAAUUAAAAUUUAAAGACUAUAGUAUCACCUAACUCAUAAUUUGAGAAUCAAACUUGCAAUUUAUCAUUCUUAAAAUUUUGAACGAUUGGAUAGUCAAAUCAAGAAAAAGUCAUACAAUUUUUUUUUUAAAUUUUUUGAUUUGUUAAGAAAGUGGAUGGUUAAGAUAUUUAGCAUAAAACUAAGGCUAAAUUACAGAAAACCCCCUUAUAAUAACCCGCUUUUUCACUUUCCCUCCCUGACAUUUAAAAACCUACACUUUGCCCUCCUGUAAAAUAAAAAAUGUUCACUUCACCCCCUACCGUUAGGGUUCCGUUAAAAAAUAUAUUUUUAUGCCGAAAAUACCCCUCCGCCAUCUCCAUGUUGCUUCGCCUCCCUCCGGCUCGCCACCUCGCCGCCUCCUUGCCGCCUCGCCGCCUAGCUGCCUCGCCGUCCUCCACUGCCACGCCCUCACCCACAUCCCCUUCGUCGUCCUCCGCCGCCUCGCCUUCGCCUUCUUUCCCCUUCUUCUACUGUCACCCACCUCGAUUUUUCCUACUGUCGCCGAAAUCGAGGAUGGCGAGGGUGCAGGAGGAGAAGGGGAGCAGGUGGAGAAGAAAAUGGAGAGAAAUCGCGACCGAUUGAGGUGGGAAUCACGGCAGAAUGAAGGGGCGGCUGAGGAGGAUAGGGAAGAAGACAACAAUGGCGAGGGGCAAAAUGGUCAUUUUACACACCGUAACCUCCUGUAAACAUUUUUCAUUUUACAGGGGGGCAAAAUGUAGGUUUUGAAAUGUCAGGGAAGAAAAGUGAAAAAGCGGGUUAUUACAGGGAGGUUUUCUAUAAUUUAACCUAAAACUAAUUAUGGCUGUACAAACCUACGCCCCCAAUUCAAAAAAUUCGACCGUUACACUCUCCCCGUCCCCAAAGAGCAAAAGUAUCUCCUUUCCUAAACCUCACAUGUUUUUAGGAGAUCAAUGGCACCGAAGGAAAACACUAACAAGACCACCUCACCAAGAACAUCCUCCUCCUCCUCCUCCUCCUCCCACCUCUCCGGCGCCAUGAUCAAGCAGAGCGUCCUAAGCCCGGGGUUCCGGUCGGUGGCCGCCAUGGCCGGGUGGGACGAGGAAGCUCUCUUGCUCGCGAGCCUCGUCGUCGAGGACACCCCGGUGCGAGAGUCCCGUCACAAGAGACGCUCCAAUCCCCACCUCAAAUCCCCUCCGAGCACCAGUUCCAACCGGUCCUCGUCGACUUCCAAAUACCCAUUUCGUCCCAUCCAUCCUCCUCGGUGCUCCUUCGAUCUCUAAUGGGCUCUUUCGGUUCUCGCAGGAAACGAAGAUCCCGAAGGCGGUCCACGAAUUUGGUCCCCCCCGUGGUUCUCUCUCUUGAUGAUGACGAGCUAAGUGAUAAGAAAGGUUCGAUCUUGUUCUUGUCUAAAUGUAAAAAUGUUGAAUUGAUUCUCGUUGGGUUCUCCAAAUUUGAUUUUUGGGUUUCGAUUGAUUCAGACUCGGGUGAUGCGAGAAAAGAAAUGGGGACUAUUGCUGCUGAGGAGAAGAAGAAGAAGCCGCCAUUAGCAGAGGGGGCUUCACCGGAGAAGCUCUCGAGCAACGCGCUCCCGUGUAUGGAUCGGCUGAGAGAGGAGCUUUCUUGCGCCGUAAUAAGCCAUUUUUUAGUUUCUCCUUGUCUCGAUUUUGGAUUGUUCUAUUGACCUUGUCCUAAUUUAAUUUAGUGUUUGCUAGAUUUGUUUGGAGAUUUGCUUCGAACCAAGCACUACUCCCUGUGGGCACAGGUAAAAAACCAAUUUUUAUUGAAUUUAGUCCUUCAAAUCCAUAGAAAAUUUUGUAUAUGAUUACUGGAUGUAAAAUGAUAGUAAGAUUUGAUAUAAUCACUGCAACUAUUUGCUCAAUCGCAAAGUUUUCUAUGGAUUUGAAGGACUAAAUUCAAUAAAAAUUGGUUUUUUACCUGUGCCCACAGGGAGUAGUGCUUGGUUCGAAGCAAAUCUCCAAACANAUUUUGUAUAUGAUUACUGGAUGUAAAAUGAUAGUAAGAUUUGAUAUAAUCACUGCAACUAUUUGCUCAAUCGCAAAGUUUUCAACUUGUUCUGUUUUAGCCUCUAUUAGCGAAUUGAAAACAUCCUUUUUCCUUUUUUCUUUUUAAUAACAGCUUCUGCAUGAAGUGCUUAAAGUGUGCUGCAGCUAAAUGCGGAAAAAGGUGUCCUAAAUGCAGGCAACUGAUCAGGUAAAAAGAAAAACAAAAAAUCUCACCUUAAAGAGUGCUCCUUUGUUAACAAUAUGAAAGGGUUUUGUAAGAAUCGAGUUCAAUGUAUUCAUUUUAUGUGUGUUUUACAGCAAUGGGAGAUCUUGCACAGUGAACACAGUUCUUUGGAACACAAUUCAGCUCCUGUUUCCGGAGGAAGUCGGGGCGAGGAAGAGCUCCACAGACCCAAAAAUCACUUCUGAUCAAAGCACCGAACCCUCUUCCGAAGGUUCAGAGCGAAGCAACAGCGACAUCACCAGAAGCAGCAGCAUGAGAAGCUACACCCAAGUUUCUGAAACAAUGGAUCGGGUGGGCAGAAGAAGGGCGGCGCCGAGCCGCCAAUCGGAGGAUGCCGCGUUGGCUUAUCGGUUGCAGAGGGAAGAGUUCAUGGUAGCUUUCCGGAGCAGCCGCGAGGAGCAGCGGAGUGCCCUCUACGCUGCUAGCGCCAAUCUCCGAUCUAUGGCCUCUAGAGCUAUUCAUUUGCGGACUAGAAGUCGGCACUCAUAAUAUGCAUGUUACCGUUAUUCCGCUUUCUGAAACAAUUUGGCAGAACAUUCAGACUAAAACACUUCAUUUGAUGGAAUUGUAUCGAAUUUCGUAGAUGUUGAUUAGCACUUUUUGGCGGUACUUAGCCCAAUAUUUGAAUUCUUCACUGUUCUAACAUGUUGUAGGAAUCCUCUUUGUUAAAGCAUUGGUGUGAUCAGAUGGAAAAAUCGAAAUAAUAUUACAGCGGUACAUUUUGCAGAUUGAUCAGAUGGAAAACACGAAUCUAAACACACAUUUUAUCGAAUUGAAUUAUCAUUAUUAUUGUUAUUAUCAUUUUAGUGUUGCAGGACAUAUUAGAAACUACUGUCCGGCCCUGGUCCAUUAUGAAUCACUAUCUCUUUUUCUUUUUUACUAAAGAAAAAAAAGGUGUUUAUCGGUUUAUGCACACCUUCGUAUUCGUGCACUACAUAAAAUUGAGAAAUGCUAGCUAUAUGUUCUAAAAAGUGGUGUAUAUCCUACACCACUUUGUCCCAAGAUUCGUGAUUUUUUAAAUUUUUUAAUAGUUUAUAAAAAAAAAUAGUUAAAAAGAUAAAAGCAAAAUAUUGAUUUUUAGAUGGAGAAUUAAUAUAAAAUUUACAAUCUUUUUAGAAUAUAUAGGUAGCAUUGCUGUUUCAUUAUAUACAACACUAUUAAUUUUUUUUUAAUUCUAAUAUACAAAUUUAGCUUUUCUGUACUAUCCACGACAUUCAUAUAUGUACUUAUUAAAAAUUAUAUUAAACUACUCACAAUUAGACGAUGAUUUCGUAAUAAAAUCUGUUUUGAAACCUCGGCAGCCAAACACUUCGGCACUGUUUGGAUUAGGAAUAAGAGGAUAUCCCUCUCCUUAUCCCUUUUAUACCCAAACGCAAAUUUUUUAUCUGAAAUAGUAGUUUUCGACUAUCUGAAAUAAGCUGGUAUAAUUAUCCUCGUCAAAACCUUCAUUUUUUAUAUAUAACUACUCAUUAUUUUUCUUAUAUCUAUCCCUAUAAUAGCUAGUUCUUGCUUAUAUCCGAACAAAACGAAGCCUUCCUGUUUAAAGGGCCCAAAAAAAAAUCUGAACAUAUUUUUACAGUUCAUCUCUUAUAUGGUAUAAAAUAGUCUGGAUUGAGCCCUGGUGCAUAGACCGCGGUGCAUGGAAUAAAUUCGGACCGGAUAAGAGAUUGGAAACAAAGAAGGAAAGGCUCUAGUGAGAGAGAGAGAGGAAACGAGAGAGAGAGCGAGCUCUUUCGCUCUCUCUUUUUCCUUGGAAAGGGAGUGAGAAGAAGCAGCAAUGGAAGUGGUGGGCGUGUCGACACGGGCUCCUCUGAUUCGCGUAUGCAGCAGCGCCGCGAAAGCGUUGAUUAACUGGGAAGUGCGAGCACUGUAUGAUGUGCAUGUACGUACGUCUUUCGGAAAUGAAUACUAGUGUAGAUUUUUUUUUUUUUUUCAGGAUGGGAGAAACUCCAAAAUAUCAUCACGUGAUUUCGUACUUUUUUAUUUUAUUAUUUUAUAAUUUAAAGUGUAUUAAAUUAAUAACUUAUGAUUUUAUAUUUUUUUACUUUAGUAUCCUGUGAUUUAAAGUGCAUCAAUUCAGUACACUGUAGUUUCAUUUUUCUCUUUUCUCCAGCUCCUUUGUUAAUAUUUCGUUAAAUUAUAUACAAAAACUUCAGAUACCCUGUAGUUUCAUUUUUCUCUUUUAUUCGGCUCCUCUCUUAAUAUUUCGUUAAAUUAUAUACAAAAAACUUCAGAUACGCACCCUACCUAACUAGAUUUAUCGAAUAUUUAUUUUAGUAUCUUUUAGUUUUAAUUUUGUCACUGAUUUUUUUUUCCUUCGUUAAUAUUUCGUUAAAUUAUAUACAAAAAACUUUAGAUAUCCUACGUAGGUUUAUCGAAUAUUUACUUUAGUACCCUUUAAUUUUAACUUUGUCACUGAUUUAACGAAAAAUUAGUGAAAUAAAUAAUAAAAAGAAAAAAAUAAAACCACAUGGCACUAACUUAAUACAUUUUAAACUUGAAACCACAUGUGGGUAAAUUGCACUAUUACCCUCUGAACUUUUGGCGAAAUUUCACUUUAUCCCUCGAACUCCUAAAAUGGACAUCUAACCCCCUAAACUCUAAUAUUUCGUUCAUAUUACCCCUUCCGUCAGUUUUCCGUCAAACUCCGUUAAUCGGAAAUUAACGAAAGGUAUAAAACGAAUGAAAUAUUAGAGUUUAACGUAUUAGAUAUCUAUUUUAGGAGUUUGGGGGUUAAGUGAAACUCGCCAAAAGUUCAAGAAGUAGUAGUGCACUUUACUCCGUAGGGGACUCUUGACUAUAAAUUAUUUUAUUAUAAUAUGUUACUUAUGGAUUGACUACUAAUCCUCAAGUUAGUGAUCAUACUUGAUUUUAAAUUCAUAUAUAUUUUUUAUCCUAAAAUAAAUCAUACCAUAAUUUAUCCUACAUUUUAUUGUAAUAAAAUAAAAGUGAAAGAAAUGAAUUAGAAUGACUUAAAGAUAAAAAAAGAUAGAUACUAACUAUCUACGAUACUCGAACACUCUACUAUUUUGGUAUACUCGCUAAUAUGGUUAAUUUACAAUAGGUGUCCUCACUCGGAUAUAGAUAAUUUAAUUCUCAGUUAAUUUUCUGUAGUACUCGUUUGUCCCUUUUAUCUUUAGAAGCAUUAUUCUAUAAAAUACACUUAAAUAAAAUUUUUAUACUUCAUUUCAGUCAAUUAGAAAUUUUUAAUAUAAAAAUAUAAAAAUAAUUUAUAGUAAAAAUUGGGGUAAAUUGUAUUGUUACUUCCUGAACUUUUUGCAAGUUUCACUUAACCCCCCAGACUCCUAACAUAGACAUCUAACACCCUAAACUUUAAUAUUUUAUUCGUUUUACCCCUUCCGUCAGUUUCCGGUUAACGGAGCUUGAUGGAAAACUGACGGAAGGGGUAAUAUAAACGAAAUAUUAGAAUUUAGGGGGUUAGAUGUUCAUUUUAGAAGUUCAAGGGGUAAAGUGAAACUUCGCCAAAAGUUCAGGGGGUAAUAAUGCAAUUUAUCCUUUACUUUAGUACCUUUUAGUUUUAAUUUUGUCACUGAUUUUUUUUUCCUUCGUUAAUAUUUCGUUAAAUUAUAUACAAAAAAACUUCAGAUAUCCUACGUAGGUUUAUCGAAUAUUUACUUUAGUAUUCUUUAAUUUUAAUUUUGUCACUGAUUUAACGAAAAAUCAGUGAAAUAAAUAAUAAAAAGAGAAAAAUGAAACCACAUGGCACUAAUUAACUUGAUACAUUUUGAACUAUAAAGUACUAAAGUAAGAAAGUGCGAAACUAUAAGAGCUAAUUUAAUACACUUUAAACCACAUGGUACUAAAGUGAGAAAGUGUGAAACCACGUGGGAGUAUUUGAAGUUUAUCCUUCUUUUUAAGAGCACCGAUGGGUGAUUACUAAAAAUAAACUCAGAUAAAAAUAUAAAGUAACUAUAUUUUCAACUUAAAAAUCUCGAAUGUCAACCAUUAAAAGUUCUUAGCUAAUUAUACUGAGAGGGCCGAUUUUUCCUACAAAUUUUUUAAAAUGUUAUUUAGAUAAGACUGUAUAAAAUUUAUCAAAAUUAUAUAUUAUUUUGAUUCUACUAGGAAAAUUUUUAAAAUAAAAAUUUUAAUAUCUAAUCUUUCAAUUUAUUUUAUUUAAAUAAUUUGAUGAUUUUUUUUUUGAAAGAUAGAUAGCACGCUAUCCGCUUCAUUUAUUUUAUUUAGAAAUAAACUUAGCUGGAAUUGUGAAUCAACUGGGAUUCGAACUUGGGACCUCGAGUACCAACCAUCAAACCCUUUGUCACUUGUUUUAGGGACGGUUGGUAAAAAAAUAAAUUUAUAGUUAUGUAAUUGUAUAAAAUAGCUAACUAAAUUGGUAAAGAUAAAUAAUAAAUUUAUAUUUUAAAGUAAAAGAAUUUGUAAUUGACGCAAAUCAAAAAAUUAAAAGUUUAGAUAGUAAAAUUAAAAUUUCUAAGUAGU
RNAcentral lists this long non-coding RNA (45596 nucleotides) under Ananas comosus (pineapple). Its description in RNAcentral is "long non-coding RNA (ACOM_LNC025332)". The record is from RNAcentral. Lineage: Eukaryota; Viridiplantae; Streptophyta; Magnoliopsida; Poales; Bromeliaceae.